AGCUAGUCCUGGCAUCUUGAAACCUGACAUAAUCGGUCCUGGUGUUAAUAUCCUUGCUGCUUGGCCUACCUCCGUGGAUGACAACAAGGACACCAAAUCCACAUUCAAUAUUAUAUCAGGCACCUCAAUGUCUUGCCCUCACCUUAGUGGCGUAGCAGCUCUGCUGAAGAGCACACAUCCUGAUUGGUCUCCUGCAGCUAUUAAGUCUGCAAUCAUGACAACUGCUGACACGUUAAACCUUGCCAAUAGUCCAAUACUAGACGAAAGGCUCCUUCCUGCUGACAUUUUUGCCACUGGUGCAGGACAUGUUAAUCCAUCGAGGGCAAAUGAUCCAGGACUAGUUUAUGAUAUCCCAUUUGAGGACUAUCUACCUUAUUUAUGUGGUUUGAACUAUACGAAUCGACAGGUAGGUAACCUGUUACAACGCAGGGUGAAUUGCUCGGAGGUGAAAAUUAUCCUUGAAGCACAAUUAAACUAUCCUUCAUUUUGCAUAACUGAACUUGGAUCAACUCCUCAGACAUAUACAAGAACUGUGACCAACGUUGGUGACGCUACAUCAUCUUACAAAGUGGAGGUAGCUUCACCAAAAGGCGUUGCCGUGGAAGUUAAGCCCACAGAGCUAAAUUUCUCCGAGUUGAACCAGAAGUUAACAUACCAAGUGACAUUUUCCAAGACAACUAGCAGCUCAAACUUUGUGAUUGUUGAUGGAUUCUUGAAAUGGACUUCUAGUAGACACUCAGUGAGAAGUCCAAUUGCAGUUGUGUUAGCCUAGUCAAAAAUUGGCUUUACGAGUGCAUAAACUACUCAUACAUUUUAUUUUACUGAAAAUACUGUUUGUUUAUCGUUAUUUACUUCAUGUGAGUAAUUUGGGUACAUGUGAAAAAGUUUCGUAAUGGUGAAGAUAUGAAUGACCGCAUAGUAUAACGAUAACACUAUUAAAUGAAAGUUAAGAAAAAAAUAUUUUUGACUCUUUUACCAACUUAGAAGUAGGACAACAAAAACAAGUCCUACGAGUUCCCUAGAAAAGACAUUAGACCACGCUCGGUUUCGUUUACGAAAUUAAUGUCAAUCCAAACCAAAUUAAAAUAAAUUUAGUUUGGUUCUGUUUGAUUAGAUUAUCAAUUUUUGAGUCUAUAUUAAGUGUUAUUGAACAAGUUUACCUCCAAUUCAACUUCUAUCUUCGAAAUGUGAGAGUUUAUUAUUUAGGGUUCAAUUUUCAGUCAUGAGAGUUUCAAUUUAGGGUUUCAGAAUUGGGAAUUACGUAAUUCAUAAGUGUAGGAGCUACAGCGGGUCACUCUCAAAUGCCAAAUUGGGUCAAUUUUUAAUGGGCUAUUGACAUUGGAUAGGCUGGGCUGUCAGUGUAGUGUAGUGCUAAAAUUCGUGUAUUCGGUUAUAUCGAAUUAAUUUUGUUAAAAAUUGAAAAUCGAAUCGAACAACUAAAAUUGCUCCAUCAAAUAAAAAAACCGAUAUUGAAAUUUAAAAAAAUCCCGAAAUAUGCCCGGGCCUAGUUGUAAUUAACUCACAUGUUUGGAAUAAGUAUUUCUUACACGCCAGUAGUUUCAAAGGUAAAAAAUAUAUAUUAAAUAAAUCAUACACAUACACUGUACUAACAAAUUUAUUUUUUAUUUGAAUUCUAUAUAAUUUAAUAAGAUACAAUAAUAUUGAUGUAUUCGUUGUACUUUAUGUAUAAUAAAUUUAUCUUUUAUGUGAAUUCAAUGUUAAUUAGAAAGAUACAAUGAUUUUAAUAUAAUCAAAAUUAACCUUCAUUGAAUUUCAAUACAUAACUCUUUAAAAUAAAUAAAUAUUAAUUUAUGAGUAAAUAAUAUUUCUACAAAAUAAUAAUAUUUUAACGUAACUAAGCAUAAAAAUAAAAUAAUUACAAACAUAUACCCCUUUACAUUCAUACACUUACUAAAUACUUACAUUGUAUACCCCCAACUAAUUUAAAAAAUAUUACUUGAAUGACUAUGUGAGAAUUUCGAUUCAAUACUUAAAUUAGGACGUUGAUGCUAAACUUGUUAAUAUGACAAAAAAUAAAUAAAUAACAGGGACAUUCCUAUAUAUAAUCAUUCCACACCCUUCCACCCCUUAAUCAUACUCCCCCACCCUAUCCCACUCGUAUAUUAUUUUUCAUGAAAAAUAUUUUCUUACUUUCGAACGCACUCUGUACCAAAAUACCCUUCAUUGUAUAUGUAAUUUUCAAUCACUUCAAUUAUUAAUGGAGGAUAUAUCAUUUCCAUGGGAAGAAAUGUAUGAUUUUUGAGUGUUUCACAUUUAAACUUUGACUGUUUAAAUUACGUUAAGUUCGAGGCAUAUAUGACUUUAAUCCAUAAUUUCCACCUCAACUUACACAAAUUUAACUAAUCUGCUUAAAUAUGAAUAAUGUUCAUAAUUAUGAUACUAAGAAUAUAAAUAAAAAUAUAAGACCCACUGUCAACAAAAAUUUCUCAUUUUUUUAAAAAAAAACAUACUUAACAAUUGUUUUUUAAUCUUAAUUUCAAAUUUUAAACUUUUAAUCUCGACUUUACCUUUACUGCUAGGACAGGCUUGUUAAUCACACUUUUGACGUGGUCAUUACUUUCCUUUAUUUUUUAUGGAAAUAAUGAAAUCAACUAGUCUAUUAUUUGUGUAAAAUAAUUCUACAUACUUUCUCUUUCAAUCAUGACUUUUUUUUUUCCACACUAUAACAUUAAAAUGUCUCAUUGUGAGUUUUAACGUGUAAUAGAGGGCACAUUUUAACAAUAGAGGCGGAAUCAAAUAAUUGCAAGAAAUUCAUUUGAGUAUCUUUUGGUGAAAAAAUUAUAUUAUAUAUAUGAGGUUAAUUUUUUUUUACGUUAAUUUUUUUUUUGUGAAAAUCAUAUGACCUUGUCACUAUUAUUGACAACCCCUUCCCUUCUAUAGAUACUUAAAUUAUGUCGAUUCGAAUAGCGGGUGUGGAGGAAAAUGAAAUUAAGUUAACGUUGAUAGUCUUAUAAGGACAAAGCAAUAUAUGUGAAUCUGAUUUUAAUCGAAUUAGUGGACGAUAAAUACUUAAUAGUGAAGCUUAAAAAAAACUAAAAACAUAUAGUUGUUUGAUUGAGAUAAAGUGGAUCAUGAAAGGUCGUGGACCACUUUGUUGUGACACUUUUUCGUGGAAAAUUAGAUGGAUAGAUUGGUGGUUUAAUUAUAAUACGUGUGGAGAAUUUUCUUGAUUUUUUAUAUUUUGAUUAUUUUUAAUGAAAAUUCAUGUUUUGCUACUGAUUACCAAAGCCAAAAUAUAAUGUAAUAAGAAAUGAAUUUUGGAAUUUUCCCUACCUAAACCCUUACAAUAAUUAAUAGAGUAAGGAUUGUUCAAAUUCGCAUAAAGAAAAUUUUUCAUUUUUAAUUAACCCCUUUCUGCACGCCAAAUGAAAUUUAAUAAAUCAAAAAUUAGAAUGGAUUUGAGUGUAAUAAAUAUAAUGAUAAAAGAACUUAUCUUAGUCCUAACUCGGCCACAAAAUAGCUCAUGAGGAGACACUGCCCAAGAUCGUAAAGGGAGGGCCUUAUGCAAUGUAACAAUAUUGUAUAAUUAUGUAUAUAUGAUGUAUAACUAUGUAUCAAAGAUGUAUAUACAUCCAUAUACUCUGUUUGUACAAUGUUUAUGCAUUGUAUCUGUUCAUCUUCCUCAACAAUGUGUUUUCUUGAAUCUUAAUUUUAUACGUAUCGUGCCCCAAAGAAAGGGGAAAAAGAACAAAAUUUUUUUUAACACAAAUAAUUGAUUGAAUUCAUUGUUUACUUUCCAUUUUUGAUAUACAUAGAUUAUAUUAUUAAUUAUACACUUAUUAUUCAUGAAUUAAAUACAUAUAUUAUCUAUCCAUCCACUAAUUUUAAUUUCAUUCCUUGGAUUUCCACAUAUAAAAACAAUAUUUUUUUCCAGCAGCCCCUGUUGGUCCUUUGUGCCCCCACAAGUAAUCAGGUGGACUGAAAUGUAGUGCCAAUUAUCUCUAAUAAUUUCUGCAAUUUAAAGGAAUAAAUAGAUAAAUAUGGAUUUCGACAUAUAAAAACACAGCACAAAAUUAAUAAAAGUUUAAGUUGUGUUGGGAUAUUAGGUCUUGGGUCAACUUUUGUUAGUUAAAUGAGUUUGAUGAUUAGAAUACGCCAUAAUUAUUAUGAUCAGUAAUAAUUUAAAAGUUCAAAUGAAAUAUCGAGUCAAAAUUAAGUGUAAUUUUUCGUGGAUUUACAUUUAUCUAAUUAUCUCAUUCGCCAUUUUCUUAUGUCGAUCACCACUGUCCUCUCUCGCUUGCCUCUCUUCCUGUAUCUCUGGUAUACAUGUACUUAAUACGAUUCUCAUGAUGUUUAUGGGGAUGAUUCACAUAUAUCUAGAUAUCUCGGUCGCCUCUCUUCUUUUUUCGCUCGUGUUUCUCAAUUGAAAAUGACAUAAAUAAGUCAAACUUUAAAAGAAUGUCAUAUACGAGCUUUUUCCACAAGUUUAACAACAAAUUUGAGCUUUUUUCCUUAAAGGGAUAAAACGAAAUUAAAUAUAUUAUAGUGGAUGUCAUUUGGAAAAUAAAACCAUAGAAUAUAAUUUUCUGAUACUGGAGAAGUGAUAAUUUUGUUCAUACACAUGUCUUUUUUCCACAAUAAUUUUUCUAGAUGUUGAAUAGGUCAAUAAUAAAACACUAUAAAUAGACAGUUGCUUCAAAGCAGAGAAAUUCAUCAAAUAAAUCAUCACUUGUUGUAUUAGCUAGCCAUGGGAUUAUUGAAAAUCCUUCUUGUUUUCAUCUUCUGUUCUUUCCAAUGGCCUACUAUUCAGAGUAAUCUCGAGACUUAUAUCGUCCAUGUUGAAUCCCCUGAAAGCCUAGUUACUACUCAAUCAUUGUUAACGGAUUUAGGUAGCUAUUACCUUUCUUUUUUGCCUAAAACUGCUACCACAAUUAGUUCGAGUGGAAAUGAAGAGGCUGCUACCAUGAUCUAUUCCUAUCACAAUGUGAUGACAGGGUUUGCAGCAAGAUUAACUGCAGAACAAGUGAAGGAAAUGGAGAAAAAACACGGCUUUGUCUCUGCUCAGAAACAGAGGAUUUUGUCUUUGCACACUACUCAUACUCCAAGUUUUCUUGGUUUGCAGCAGAACAUGGGUGUAUGGAAGGAUUCCAACUAUGGGAAAGGCGUGAUCAUCGGAGUUAUAGACACUGGAAUUAUUCCUGACCAUCCUUCUUUUAGCGAUGUUGGGAUGCCUCCCCCGCCUGCUAAGUGGAAAGGAGUUUGUGAGUCCAAUUUCACCAAUAAGUGUAACAACAAGCUCAUUGGAGCCAGGUCUUACCAACUUGGUAAUGGUUCCCCGAUAGAUAGUAUUGGACAUGGUACACACACAGCAAGCACAGCUGCAGGAGCCUUUGUGAAAGGUGCUAAUGUAUAUGGCAAUGCUGAUGGAACUGCAGUUGGUGUUGCUCCUCUAGCCCAUAUAGCCAUAUAUAAGGUGUGUAAUUCUGUUGGUUGUUCUGAAAGUGAUGUUUUAGCUGCCAUGGAUUCAGCUAUAGAUGAUGGAGUAGAUAUUCUUUCAAUGUCCCUUAGUGGAGGUCCAAUCCCUUUCCAUAGAGACAAUAUUGCUAUCGGGGCGUACAGUGCAACGGAAAGAGGAAUUCUUGUAAGUUGUUCUGCUGGAAAUAGUGGUCCAUCCUUUAUCACAGCAGUAAACACCGCCCCUUGGAUUCUUACGGUAGGUGCCAGCACGCUUGACAGAAAGAUAAAAGCUACUGUUAAGCUUGGAAAUGGAGAGGAAUUUGAAGGAGAAUCUGCUUAUCGUCCAAAGAUUUCCAACGCAACAUUCUUCACUCUAUUUGAUGCUGCAAAAAAUGCAAAAGAUCCAUCCGAAACCCCUUAUUGCAGACGAGGUUCACUCACUGACCCUGCUAUAAGAGGAAAGAUAGUAUUAUGUUCAGCACUCGGCCAUGUAGCCAAUGUUGAUAAAGGACAAGCUGUGAAGGAUGCUGGAGGUGUUGGCAUGAUUAUCAUCAACCCAUCACAAUAUGGUGUCACUAAAUCAGCUGAUGCUCAUGUUCUUCCAGCAUUGGUUGUUUCAGCUGCAGACGGAACAAAAAUUCUUGCUUACAUGAACUCAACAUCAAGCCCUGUUGCUACAAUUGCAUUCCAAGGAACAAUAAUUGGAGACAAAAAUGCUCCUAUGGUUGCUGCAUUUUCCUCAAGAGGACCAAGUAGAGCUAGUCCUGGAAUCUUGAAGCCUGACAUAAUCGGUCCUGGUGCUAAUAUCCUUGCUGCUUGGCCUACCUCCGUGGAUGACAACAAGAACACCAAAUCCACAUUCAAUAUCAUAUCAGGCACCUCAAUGUCUUGCCCUCACCUUAGUGGCGUAGCAGCUCUGCUGAAAUGCACACAUCCUGAUUGGUCUCCUGCUGUUAUUAAGUCUGCAAUGAUGACAACGGCUGACACGUUAAACCUUGCUAAUAGUCCAAUACUCGAUGAAAGGCUCCUUCCUGCUGACAUCUAUGCAAUUGGUGCAGGACAUGUUAAUCCAUCAAGGGCAAAUGAUCCAGGACUAGUUUAUGAUACACCAUUCGAGGACUAUGUACCUUAUUUAUGUGGUUUGAAGUACACAGAUCAACAGGUAGGUAACCUGAUACAACGCAGGGUGAAUUGCUCGGAGGUGAAAAGUAUCCUUGAAGCACAAUUAAACUAUCCUUCGUUUUCCAUAUUUGGACUUGGAUCAACUCCUCAGACAUAUACCAGAACUGUAACCAAUGUUGGUGAUGCUACAUCAUCUUACAAAGUGGAGGUAGCUUCACCAGAAGGCGUUGCCAUCGAAGUUGAACCCUCCGAGCUAAAUUUCUCCGAGUUGAACCAGAAGUUGACAUACCAAGUGACAUUUUCCAAGACAACUAAUAGCUCAAACCCUGAGGUUAUUGAGGGAUUCUUGAAGUGGACUUCUAAUAGGCACUCAGUGAGAAGUCCAAUUGCAGUUGUGUCUGCCUAGUCAAAAAUUGGCUAUAUAAGUGCAUUAAGUACUCGGACAUUUGAAAAUGCUGUUUGUUUAUAUGUUACUUUUUAAUAUUAUAUUAUUAAAUGUAUUGUUUCAAUAAACUUUAUGUUCACAGUUGUUUGAAGAAUGCAAAAGCAUAUCCUCUUUGAUGUUAGUGUCCAUGCACUGCUCAACUUUUCUUCUUGAUUUCAUUGAUAAUAAAUAUUACUUGAGUGAUUAUGUAAGAUUUUCACUCCAUACUUAAAUUUGGGAAAUUUGCUGUCACCCUUUGAUCCAGAAUCUUGACAGUGACUUCAAAAAUAAAGUCUUAGUCUUCGGUGACUUCAAAAAGUAAUUGGGACGUUGAUGCUUUAACUAUAUUAGUAAGACAAGAAAAGUAAUAGAGACAUAUACUAUGAAUUUCCAAGAAAAAACGUUGUAAUUAAUUCGAACGAACUUAAAUUUUUUAACAUAUUGUGGCCAAAUGAGAAAUCUAUAGCCAACUAUACAUGUCAAGUCCAAAUUCUACCAUUGAAGGGGACCAAUGUACAUCAUCCAUGGUACAUAAUUUAUCUUCCAAAGAAAUUAAAUUAACCAAUACAUAUUUGGUUUUGUAAUAAUUUUCACAAAAAAACAAGAAUUACAGAAUGCAUUGUUGCUAUUUGUGUGUGGCCCAUCAUGUAUUGGUAGCAUUUUUUUACUAGUUAAUAGAGUAAGGAUUGUCCAAAUUCGUAUAAAGAUAUCAUCAUUCUUAAUUAGCUCCUUUCUGCAUGCCCGGUGAAAUGGAAUGAAUCAAGAAUUAGGACGACGUAUAUAACUCUAAUAUAAUAAGAAAUGAAUUUGCCCUACCUAAACCCUUACAACUAGUAAAUAGAGUAAGGAUUGUUCAAAUCCGUAUAAAGAGAUAUUCGCAUUCUUAAUUAUCCGUAUAUGAUGUAUAGCUAUGUAUCAGACAUGUAUAAAUAUUCAUAUAUCUCUGUUUGUACAUGCAUUGUAUCUGUUCAUCUUCCUUAACAAUGUGUUUUCUUGAAUCUCAACCAACUCAAAUCUUCUCUAAACACUCCGAAUGGUUUUGUUGUUGCCUAGCUCUUAUUGAAUUGUAUAUCUUUUGCAUAUAAGAAAAAGAUUUGAUUAUGAUAUAGGGACUCAACACUUCACGAUAGCGAAUAAUUUUAUAUGUAUCCUGCCCUAAAAGAAAGAAAAAACAAAAAAACUUUACUCGCCUCUCCUAUUUUACUCGCCUCUCUCCUCUCUCGCUCAUCCCUCUCCUUGUAUCCGGUAUAUAUAUGUUUUUGGUGUGAUUCUCAUAAUGUAUAUGGGGAUGAUUCACAUAUACCACAAUUGAAGGAGAUCAAUCUACAUCAUCCAUAAUUCACGUUUUGUCUUGCAAGUAAAUUAAAGUAACCAACUUUAGUUUUGUUAUUAAUCACACUUAGUGGCAUUUCUUUUGCUAUCUCUUUUAAUAUUCUUGUCCACAUUAUUCUUUUUUUCCCUCUAGCUAAAAUAGAGUGAUGAACAAUUAGGCAUUAUAAAUAGAGAAUUUGCUUUUAGUAGAUCAAAUUGUGAUUUAUUUUUUGAUUUUUGGUUGCUUUCAUUGAAUCUUUUAAUGUAUUUAGUUGAUUUUAAUUCUUAAAUUAAUGUAUACUUGAUUUGUUUCACCUUUACAAUUCAUUACAAUUUUAUCGUGUAUAAUAUAUUCUUUUCAAAUAUUAACUUUUAUACAUAAUCCUAAUUUAUUGUACACAAAUUAGUAUAUAUCGUGUUACUAGUUAUGUAUUGGAUAUACAAAUAUUACAAAUUUCAUUUUCUUUUACUACCAAUACAUACACCCAACUUUAUUCAACUAGUAGAAGACUAUUAUUUCUAGGGAAAAGGGUCCGAUAUACCCUCAACUUUAUCAUUUAGAGCUCAUAUACCCCUUGUUAUGAAAUUGACUCAUAUAUACUCCUACUUGUAAACAAAUGGCUCAAAUAUAUCCUUUUCCUUUAACGGAAAUGAAAAAAAAAUAAUUUUAAUCUAAAUUUUUAUUAUUUUUUUUCUAAAAAAAUAUAAUCCCAUAUAAGUAAAUUUAAUGCUCGUCAAAUAUAUUUUUUUGACUUUUUUUUGUUUCAAUGACUAAUUUAUAAUUAUUCUUUUGAUAAUCAAAUUUAUUUAUGUUUCAUUAAUAUUCUUGUAAAACUUAUUGUAGAUGACCAAAUUUUUUCUUCGAAUACGAAAUUAAAUUACAAAACACACAAAAAAAAUAGUUUAAUUUUUUAUUCUUUAAACUAAGGAAUGAAAGAAAAAGCAAAAUAAGAAUAAGAAAUUCAAAUAAUUAUAAUAAAAGAAGUCAAAAAAUAAUUUAUGUAUGAAAAAAAUUAAAAUAUACUUUGAACUUUGAUAGAAGAAUCAUAUAUACCCCUAAAUUUUUUUUUAAAAAAAAAUUAGAAGUAAUAAAUAUAAAUUUAAAACUAAUUUUUUUAAAUUCGUUAAAUGAAGGGUAUAUGUGAGCCAUUUCGUAAUGGCAGGGGUAUAUGUGAGCCAUUUGUAUAACGGUAUGGGCAUAUAUGAGCCACUUUUAUAACGAGGGGUAUAUCAGCUCCAAAUGACAAAGUUGAGAGGUAUAUCAGACCUUUUUCCCUUAUUUCUAAAAUGAAAGUCUAGAGUUCGCUUGAAUUGACUUAAAAGUUGAUCAAAUCUACUUUUAAAGUCCUGUUUUAUUUUUUAUUUUUGAGAGUUUUGACAAAGCAGAAAAUAACUUAUAAUAAGUUAGAGAUGACUUUAAAAAAAAGUUAAAAAUUACAAGUAGCUACUUCCUUACUUUUCAUUUUUUAACUUAAAAGUUACUAAAGUUUAACUUUUAAAAAAAUAAGGAAAAAAGUCUGAAAUAUAUAUCAACUUUGACCGAAAUUAUAUUAACGAUAUCAAACUUUGGAAAUGACCUUUUACCCCUGUACUAUUUAAUAGUGUAUUUUAAAGGUAUAUAUGUAUCCACGUGAACAUCACAAAUAUUCCAUCAUUAAAAAUAGAAAGUCAUCAUAAAAUUUGAUAUGUAACAAUAAUUUCGACCAAAAUUGAGAUAUUUUUCAGACCCUUUUUUCAAAAAAUACUUUUUAUGACAAGAAAGUACCUGGGAUGUUGAGUCGUUGACGCUAAACUUAUUAUUAAUAUGACAAGAAAAAAUAGUCCUAUGAGUUUCCUGGAAAAUACAUUGUAAUUAAUUCACAUGGGCACUUUUUAUUUUUUUUUAAACAUAUUGUGGCCAACUGAGAAAUUAUAGUUAGGAUUUUAAAUUGGAUUUUUAUUUCAUAUAUCCAUUUAAAAAUAAUUCAAUAUACUCCAUAACUAUAAUUUGAUAAUUACGAUUUGUAGCUAUAUAUAAGAGGGAGGAGAGAGGCGAGCGAGUGAGAUUGGGAGAGGGAGGAGAGAGACGAAUUGUAUAGGUCUAUCUAUCGAACUGUAUAAGUCUAUCUAUUAAAUAAUUAUAUAUUUAUAGCUGGUAUACGCAUGUACUUGUAUAUCUGGUGAGCGAGAUUGGGAGAGAGGCAAGUGAUAGAGGGUAGAGAGUGGAGAGAGACGAACUGUAUCUGUAUAGCUGUCAGAGGCAGAGAAUGGAGAGAGACUAACUGUAUUUGUAUAAUUGUAAUUAUUGUAUAUAUAUAUAUAUAUAUAUAUAUACUAGUUUUCGAAACGUGCGUUGCACGUUUGCCUUAUACAAUUAUUAUAAAGUUGAAUUAUUAUAUAAUGUUGAAAUUAGAAAUAUUAGUUUUACCAAUUUAUAUUUUAUUUAUUAAAUAAAAUUCAUAAUAAUCGAAUAGUACAUUGACCAUCAAACAAGAAUUUUUUUAAAAAUAAAUAUAUUAUUAUAGCAUCUAAUAAUAUGAAUAUAUCUGUAUAACUUAUUCUUAAUAAUCUCUCAUUACUCUCCAUAUUAGUAAGUACACAAAUGUGUAGCUACUUAAAGAAACUAUAUUAGUAAGGAAAGACAAAAGUAAAUAAAUAUUAUAAAAGUAUAUUUAAAAAUGAAUCUAAAUGUCAUAAAUUAGUAAUUUCAGCACUAAUAAAAAUAGCUUAUAACAUUCAUAAUUUCAUAGAAGAUUAUAUUAAAGAAGUAUAAUCGGUAAAGAAUACAAAAAAAAUUAAACAAAUAAGAAUAAAUACAACAUUUAUAUCCUUCUUAAGACUUUUAAUAUAACAAUAUAUAUAGUAAAAGAAAUACACAAGGAGUAAAAAAAUUUUCUCCCGUAACAAAAAAAAAACAAUCUAAAAUAGUAAAGAUAAAAUUUAUGAUUCAAAAUAUCAUUCUAAUGAGGAUCAAUAAAUAUUAAUAUUUCAAAACAAAAAAAAAGUACCUGUAAAUUGCAUAAUAAUUCACAUCAACACGAGGCAAAUGGUAAAGAGCAAUUAUUUUUAAAUGAUACAUAUAUAUAGCUAAAGAUUUAUUGGAUAAGAUGAAAAGGUGAAAAGUUGUUUAAGUUAAUUUUAGAAGUUGAAUGAUCUUACACAUGCGGUAGAGGAAAGGUGAUUGUUUUUACUAAUAAUUCAAUACAUUUAAUUAUACUAAUUACAGAGAGAGGAUAACAAAUUUAAUCAUUUAACCACAUUAAUUAUAGAGAAAGAAUUAAUAACUUUUAUUUAUUUUUUUUAAAAAGUAAUUCCUAACAAUUUUCUAUGAAAUAAUUUCUAACAAUUUUCUAUAAAAUAUUUUUGUCUUUCAAAGUUUGACUUUACACCUUCUUAGUUUUAGUAUAAUAUAAUUAUUACUUAGUAUGUAAAUAAUUAGAAUUUAAACUAUUGUGUCUAGAUGCAUGUAUUUAAAUAUGAUUAUAUAAUAUUAAAUUAAUUAUAUAUUAAUAUUUAAUUUAAUUUAGGGAUAAAAUAAGGACAAAAUGGUAAUUCAACUUUUAAGUUAAGAGCUUCCCACUUAUAAUAAUAAGAGUAUAUGUUAUAUCAUAAAAAAAAUCAUCUAGCAGACUAAGUACAAAUAUGUCAUAAAUAUUUUCUUGGAUAGCUUAAUAUAUAGAGGUUGUGAAUAUAAUCGAAGACAUCUAUAAUCUUUUUCAACACAUCGCAUUAGUACCAAUUUAUACUCUAUCAAUAGUUAUUUCUCCAAACUCAAAAGAGAAUUAAAAAAAAUUAUAAAAAUAUUGAACCAAUGAUUUCUAUAAUCUGGCCAUGAACAAAAUUACACUAAUAACUUAUCUUUUAAGUCUAGCAGGGCACUCUUAUAAUCAAAGGUUCUGAUACCAUCAUUCUGCUAUCGAAAAAGAAAAGCAUAUCAAAGAAAACAUAAGAAUUUUCAGAAUGUUCAUUGAUGUAUUUUUUUUUUGUACCCACAAAAUAAGAAUAUGCAAAAAUGAAACAAAAAGAAAAGAAAUAAUACAUACUUACUGGAGUAUCUCCGAUGAACAUAUGAAAUUAGGAAGAUGGUAGAUUAGAUUUUUGAAUGAUUAACAUAGAAUACACACAAUAUAUUAUAGUAAAUGAGACUCUUUGUUUCCCUUGUCUGUUAUGCCUUUUCAGUUGCAUCAUUUAAAUAUGUCUUCAUUAUUAUAUGAUAGAAUUACUGAAGGCUGAAACUAAUAAUUAUAUAUGGUAAUUAAGAUACUAUAAAUUAAAAGUUUUAUAUUUAAUAUUAAAAAAUAACUCCAAGAAAUUGAACAAAUUACAAAAAAAAAAAUCUCAUUAAAAUAUUUUUCUCACCUAUUAAAGCAUCAAAUUAGAAUUAAGGAAACAUAAAUCAACACAUAUAAACAAAUUAACAAUUAAUUAAUUUAUAAAUAGUCUAAGAGAUAAACUUCAAAAAAUUUAAACUAUUUAAAAAAAAUAAUAACAGGAAAACGUGUCUUUAAGAUAAUUAAACUUUAUUAUAUACUAAUAUUUUACUAAUAACCAAUUAGAUGAUUUUUACUAUUUCAAUGCAAGGACAAGGGUAAGACUUUUCAAAUUUAAAAAUUAAGAGUAAUUAAGUUAAAGACUAUAAAAUAAUUAGCAAUUUAUUUACUAAUAUUUAGUUACUUUGAUUAAGAUUUAGUAUAGGGGCAAAAUAGUAAUUCAACGUUUGCUUAACAUUCUUCCCACUUAUUCACAUUACAUGUUUAUUUUUGCAUGUCUGCUUAACGUCUGAAGCAGGAUCAGUAAGCAAAUCAUAACUCUUGUAAAUUUUAUUGCCUUUAUUCUUCACUUCUUUAGUAAGUGAAACAUGUACAAUCUUACACAAAUUCGUGUUAUUUACUUUCAAGUUGCAGAGUAGGAAAUUACCUUGGAUCUAAAAGAAAUUCCGUUGGAAUAUAAUUGAUUCCUACUCUCAAAUCUGUUGCAGCACCAAGUUCAAUUAUUUUGAACGCGCAACAACCUGCUUCAGAGAGACAUUAAUUACAACUUACAAGUACGCAAUCAAACUCAACCAUUGUGAAUCAGGUCAGCACUUUGUUUUUUAAAUAAUAUGUAUAUCCAUACGCCUAUGCAGUUUAUGACAGAGCACUUUCAGUUGCUGAUCUAAAACCUUGGUAGGAUCAAUCUGAACCUCAAGGUUUACUCAUUUUUUCCCCUUGAUUUGUUGACUUUCAACGUUUAAUUCUUUGUUCGAUGUUAAUUUUUACACAUAUUAGUACACACACAUACUGUUGAAUAGUACAAUAGAAUGUAGGAUUUUCAACAUAGUUUAACUGUCCUUCAAUGUCUUUAACUCCUGCUGUUGUUCUUUGUUAAUGAUCAUAAAAAUUCCGAAAUCACAUUAAGCCAUAUUAUAAUGAAGAGACAGAAUGUGUUUUGGAGAACCAAAACACAAAAAUGAUUGAAAAGAGCAACAGAAUAGAGAAUUGACUCAAACUCUUCUUCUACUGCUUCUUUGUUCCCUAAAACAAACAAAAAAAAACAGAACUGUCAACAACUCCAUUGCACAAUUGCUUUGUGAAAACUCGAAUACUGGCCUCCAUCUCAUUCAUAAAAAGUUUAUAUUUGCAAUUAGCAGCAAAACAGAGCAAAACCAAAGCAUUAACAUCAAAAAUUGACUGUAACUAUUAGGCAACAAAAACAAAGCACCAAAAAUAUUUACCUGUAUACUGACACGCCUUCUCUCGCCACUUCGAAGACCUUUCAUGCAGCGAUGUCCACCAAACUCCUUUUCUGACAAAGAAAACCAGGAAGCUGAAGCAAUGCUGAGUAGUAGAGGUAUUCACGGACUGUCAAUGUUCCAAUAAGAGUAGUUUCUCUGUCAACAAAUCCCAGCAGCCAAAAAGUUCCAUAUCAAAAGGCAGAGCUCAUGAUAAAGAAUAGCUAAGUUCCUCAUCCAAAAAUAUUUACCUGUAUAUCAUCCAGACACAAAAAGAGAAACAAUUUAAUGGACAAUAACAUGUGAUUUGAGACAUUUAUACAGAUGAUGAGAGUAGCUAAAAAGGUUUUGGAAGAAGAUGAUGAAACUUCAUAAUCGUCAGAAGAGAAGUGGAGCAGAUGACCGUUUCUGAAUAAUUAAAUUAGGCUGUUAGGAAAUUAAAUUUAUAAUAAUCAAUAUUAAUAGGUUUAACUAAUAUAGGGUUAAUAGGUUUAACUAAUAUAUUUAAUAAAUUAAUAUAUAAAUGAUAUUGUAGGGUUAAAAUGGUAAAUCAACUUUGGAGUUAAGAGGUUCAUGCUUACAAUAAUACUAGUUUCCGAAAACGUGCGUUGCACGUUUAUCCUAAAAUACUUCGUACAAUGUUUGUAGUGCAAAUAAUAAAUUUAAACAAUAUAUAUAUAUAUAUAUAUAUAUAUAUAUAUAUAUAUAUAUAUAUAUCAAGAAUUAACUAUUAUGCAUUUCAAUCACAUUUGUUACCGACCCAAAGGUAUAUAUGUACAUUUCACAAAUUUCGUCAAUAAUUCAUUUCCUCGUAAAUUUAAAAAAUAAUGAAGUUACAGUGGUUCAUCAACUUAUAAGACACCAUUGGUUCUCUUCAUCUUCAUUUUUAUUCUCUUCAUGUUCAUUUUUUUCUUUCUUUAAUUUUUUUGUUAGUGAGUUGGAUUCACUUGUACAGAAUCACAUCAACUUUUUAUCUUGUAGGAUAUUUAUUGAUUGUCAUGGAUGUAGUGAUAAAGCUAGAAGUCUUUCUUCUUGUCCUUGUGUAAAAGAUUUUUUUUUGGAUAAUCCAAUUAAGUGUACCGUCUCAACUUCUAUAAAAUAAUUUUUAUUUAAAAAUCAAACCAAAAUUUUAUUAAGAACAUAUCAACUUACACAAAAAUAAUUAAUUGCAUAUAAGGAACAAUAAUUUAUUACCUGAAAAUUGAUACCACUUGAAAUAGUUCAAUCUGUGUUGCUUCACUUACUGCAUCAUCACUAUGAAAUAUUAGCGUCAUUUCUUAAUUGUAUCUUCAUAAAAAAAAAGUCAAUUUAAAAAAUUUAUUAGUAGUUGAAAUAUUCAACAAUUUAGAUGAGUUCAAAUAAAGAUAAAUAAAACAUUGAGCAUAACAAACUCAUAUAAAAAAAAUAAAUAAAGAUAACAUGAUUACAUGAGAAAGUAUAAUAUAUAAUAUAGGAAAUGGAGAAUCUGCUAAUAGAAGAUAAAAACGUUACAAAUUAAGUGAUCCAAGAAGUGACAUUUUGAUAUCUUUAGACUAACUGGCUAACACCUUAAUAUGAGUUUUCUUUUUUUUAAAUAAUAACAAUGGUUUAAAGAGCAUAAUAAAAGUAGGUAACUUAAAAGGAUAAAUCAUUAUUGCUUUAUUUUUUAAAUUAUUAAUUCCAAUGCAUGUAUACUUUUUUAUCUAGUAAAAUUUUAUCUAGAAAUUAAUUAUGAAUGCUUUCGCUCUUCCACCUUCCGAGGAUAUUAAAUGGUUUUUAGUGCAUUCAGCUUAUCAAUAAUGAAGAACGAUAAAUUUGCACUUCAAAGCUGAAUUUGGUUUUUAUUAUGUUAUUAAUUUCAGUAAGUAUAAUUUAAUAAUAUCAUAUGAACUAAUAUUUAAAAAUAAUUAACUAUUAUAGGAAUACAAUGGUGAUUCAACUUUGCAUUUUGGAGCUUCACACUUAUACCCAUGAGUGUAUUAUUUCUUAAAAGAUAAUAAAAUAUAUCUAAUUGAGAUUUCUUACUUUGUUUUACUACUAAUUAUGAUACUCCAAUUUUCUGACCUUGCGUCUCAUGUUAGUCUAUGUUGACUCAUUUGAAUAUAUAUAUAUAUAUAUAUAUAAACCUAAAAAAAUUUAACAAGUUAAGUUAGGCUUGCACAAUGUUUAGAGUGUUUAUUGUUUGUAUUUUAAAGAACAAAUAUGUGCUAUAUGUAACAAAUAUUAUGAUAUUUUAUAUUUAAUAUAAUAUUUAUUACGAUUAUAAUUAUAUUUAAUUUUAUCUUUCAUAAAAUUAUAAUAUUAGUAUGCAAUAAAAUAAUUAUUGCUUUUGAAGGCCCUCAAUAUGAUGAUGGGUUGCUAGAAAUUUGAUAUUGAAGAAUGAUAUAUAUAUACAUGUGCAUAUAAGAAUAACCUCUUCUUUAUCUAUAGUAAAUUUAUAAGUGGUUAGAUAUUUAAAAUGUGAUUUCUCGUACUCAGAUAUAAGAUAAUUUCUCAUUAUUUUAAACUGUAAUCCCCUUCUUCACUUUACAAAAUUAAAAAUCGUUUAUGAGUGACACCCCUUCAAUAUUUAUGAUGUCAUAAUGAUCCAACACUUGAAAGCGGUAAAAGUUAUUUAAAACUCUCAUCUGAGGUUGCAGAUUUGUUAAUUUGGAGAAUCAUAGUUAAAGUAUGAAUUUUUAGAAAUUGUUAGAUUAGUUUAAUUUUUAAUUAUAUUUCUAUUUUAUAAAGUUUUUAUUGAACUACUAAUAGAUAUUAAAAUUGAAACACGAUUAUCAUGUUAUGUUUUGUAAGAACUAUAUUUAAUCAAAUUAAAUAAUUAAAAAAUUCUUUAUAAUGAGAUUUAAGAAUAAUAGAAAAUUUCAAAUUGCGCUUUAAAAAAAUAGUUCUUAAUCAUGAGCACAAGCUUAUUAUUUAAAUCACAAAAGACGAUUUUCUCAUUGCCUAAUUAAUAAUUGAUUCCUCAAAUAGAAACUAAAACACAUUAUACAAUCUACAAGUAAUAAUUUUCUUUAAAAUGAAAAUUGUCAGACCAAAAAUAAUAUAACAUGCAACCAAAGCUAAACAAAAUUAAUUAGCAUUGCAUCAAACGGUUGGUUAAAUGUGAUUUAUACUCCUAGCGAUAUAUUAUGUUAACAGUUGAGUAUAUAUAUUAGAUCAAAACAUCUUCAAUUACAAACUUCGAUUGCAAUUUCUUAAUAAUUUUCUUUUGAUCUCAUGACAUGUUAAAAACAACAGAAGAAAAUGAUAUUUAAUAUGAUAACAAUGAAUUUUUUUAAAUAAGAGUAAUUAUACAAAAAAAAAAUUCAUCUAAAGCAUGAAUAUAAUACGGAAAUUAAAAUUGAUUUCAACCUUCGGGAAGACUUGAACAUCCCUUCUGUCGUUGUAAACUCCAUUAGAAGAUCUAACAAUUUGUACACAUUUCUUUUCUAUAAACAACAAAUGAAGAUAAGGAAAAUUAGUAAUCAGUGUUAUGAACAGAAGCUAAAAGUGACUUAAAUAUAUACUAAAGGAUAAAAACAAUAGAAAUAUAGAAUUUUUUUUUUAAUUUCUUCCAAACUGUACCUAAAUAUCUUCAAAGUGUAUAGAUUGUUGUGUCAAAUACCGCAAUUUAUAGGACAUCAUUGAGUAAAAUCAAAAGUCUCAUAAUUAUGCCAUCAACUUCUUGAGAGUGUGGAAAGAUUAUGAAGGUGUGAAUAUUAAUGAUGAGAUAGUGAAGGUGUGGUAUUAAUACACAUUAUGACAAAAUUAAACCUAAAACUGAUCAGAUAGAGAAAUGAAAAGUUUCUCUAAUACAUUUACGUAAUAACUUUAUAAUUAAUUAUUUUUACAACUAUUCAUUCUCCUACUUUAUUUUAACAAUAAGUGAAUCAACUUAAUUAACAAUUUAAGCAUAUUUAAAAUUUAAUUAAUUAAUUAUUUUAUAAUAUUUUAAGUUAGUAUAAGGCUAAAAUGGUAAUUCAAGUGAAUCAACUUAAUUAACAAUUUAAGCAUAUUUAAUAUUUAAUUAAUUAAUUAUUUUAUAAUAUUUUAAUUUAAUAUAAGGUUAAAAUGGUAAUUCAACUUUUAAGUUUUGAGCUUCAUGCUUAUAAUAAUAAUAAUAAUAUAUAUAUAUAUAUAUAUAUAUAUAUAUAUAUAUAUAUAUAUGUAAUUUAUAUUUGUGUAUAUAUAAGUGACAUAAUUACAACUAAAAUUUAGCUGCAUGUCAUAAUUUAUUAGAACUAUAUUAGCUAAUUAACUAGUAUACCUUACUUAUCCGUUCCUUUUUUUUAAAAAUAAUUUGUACAUAUUUUUUUUAUUAGUUUGUUAAAGCAAAUAUACUAUUUGAACAACUAUACAUGUCAAAUGUCCACGCAAGUCCAAUCUCCAUGUAACACGUUUCGUCUUGCAAAGAAAUUAAAUUAACCUAAACUUUAGAUUUGUUUUUAUUUUUUUUUAACUCGAUCAACUCAAAUCUUCUUUGAACCUUCCAAUUUUAUAUAUGAACUCAUCUCAUAUUUCAAGUCUAUUGAUAUAUUAUACGUUCAAGAUAUUUACGUUUGUGACACAUCAAAUUUUAAAAAUUUGAGUUUCAAAGCUCUUUAUAAGUUAAAGUGCUCGGAUGGAUGACUACUAAAAUUGAUUCUUGGAAGAAGGAUCUUGAAUAGAUGCGUGUCUUUGAGAACAUGCAUUGCAAUUUCAUUUAGACAAAAUAUUUGCAACUUUUUAUUACCAAGUGAUUUUACAGUAAAAAAUUUGUAUAUGGAAAGAUGUUCUUUGUAUCCAAAUAUAAUUAAGCAAAUUUACAGAGGAUGGUCUUCUGGAAAAUCUACAAAUUUCAUAGAAUAAAGUUCAGUUUAACUAGUUUAUUCACGCCUAGUGAUUUAUAAAAAUAAACAAGUAAUUAGAGACAACUAAAAACAAUAAAAAAAUUGUAGACAAAUAGUUAGAGACAGUUAGAUUUAUUAAUUUUAACUAUGUUGUCCACAUUAUUCUUUUUCUCCACUAGCUAAAUAAAGUCAUGAGCAAAGAUGAAGUAUAAAUAGACAGUUGCAUCAAAGCAGAAAAAUUCAUCAAAUACAUUAUCACUUCAGCCAUGGGAUUCCUCAAAAUCUUUUUUGUUUUCAUCUUUUGUUCUUUCCCAUGGCCUACUAUUCAGAGUGAUUUCGAAACUUAUAUAGUCCAUGUUGAAUCCCCUGAAAGCCUAAUUACUACUCAAUCGUCGUUCAUGGAUUUAGAGAGCUAUUACCUUUCCUUUUUGCCUGAAACUAUGUCCGCAAUUAGUUCGAGUGGAAAUGAAGAGGCAGCCAGCAUUAUCUAUUCCUAUCACAAUGUGAUGACGGGGUUUGCAGCAAGAUUAACUGCAGAACAAGUGAAGGAAAUGGAGAAAAAACACGGCUUUGUCUCUGCUCAGAAACAGAGGAUUUUGUCCUUGCACACUACUCAUACUCCAAGUUUUCUUGGUUUGCAGCAGAACAAGGGUGUAUGGAAGGAUUCCAACUAUGGGAAAGGCGUGAUCAUCGGAGUUCUAGACACUGGAAUUAUUCCUGACCAUCCUUCUUUUAGCGACGUUGGGAUGCCUUCCCCGCCAGCUAAGUGGAAAGGAGUUUGUAAGUCCAAUUUCACCAACAAGUGUAACAACAAGCUCAUUGGAGCCAGGUCUUACGAACUUGGCAAUGCUUCCCCGAUAGAUAAUGAUGGACAUGGUACACACACAGCAAGCACAGCUGCGGGGGCUUUUGUGAAAGGUGCUAAUGUACAUGGCAAUGCUAAUGGAACUGCAGUUGGUGUUGCUCCUCUUGCCCAUAUAGCCAUAUAUAAGGUAUGUGGUUUCGAUGGAAAGUGUCCUGGCAGUGAUAUUUUAGCUGCCAUGGAUGCAGCUAUAGAUGAUGGAGUAGAUAUUCUUUCAAUCUCCCUUGGUGGAUCUCUGAGCCCUCUUUAUGAUGAAACUAUUGCUCUCGGGGCGUACAGUACAACACAAAGAGGCAUUCUUGUUAGUUGUUCUGCCGGAAAUAGUGGUCCAUCACCUGCCUCAGUAGAUAACUCAGCCCCUUGGAUUCUUACAGUAGGUGCCAGCACGCUUGAUAGAAAGAUAAAAGCUACUGUUAAGCUUGGAAAUGGAGAGGAAUUUGAAGGAGAAUCUGCUUAUCAUCCAAAGACUUCAAACGCAACAUUCUUCACUCUAUUUGAUGCUGCAAAAAAUGCAAAAGAUCCAUCCGAAACACCUUAUUGCAGACGAGGGUCACUCACUGACCCUGCUAUAAGAGGAAAGAUAGUAUUAUGCUUAGCAUUCGGCGGUGUUGCCAAUGUUGAUAAAGGACAAGCUGUGAAGGAUGCUGGAGGUGUUGGCAUGAUUGUCAUCAACCCAUCACAAUAUGGUGUCACUAAAUCAGCUGAUGCUCAUGUUCUUCCAGCAUUGGUUGUUUCAGCUGCAGAUGGAACAAAAAUUCGCGCCUAUACAAACUCAAUAUUAAACCCUGUUGCUACAAUCACAUUCCAAGGAACAAUAAUUGGAGAUAAAAAUGCUCCAAUAGUUGCUGCAUUUUCUUCUCGGGGACCAAAUACAGCUAGUCGUGGAAUCUUGAAACCUGACAUAAUCGGUCCUGGUGUUAAUAUCCUUGCUGCUUGGCCUACCUCCGUGGAUGGCAACAAAAACACCAAAUCCACAUUCAAUAUUAUAUCAGGCACCUCAAUGUCUUGCCCUCACCUUAGUGGCGUAGCAGCUCUGCUGAAGAGCUCACAUCCUGAUUGGUCUCCUGCUGUUAUUAAGUCUGCAAUCAUGACAACCGCUGACACAUUAAACCUUGCCAGUAGUCCAAUACUCGACGAAAGGCUCAGUCCUGCUGAUAUCUAUGCAAUUGGUGCAGGACAUGUUAAUCCAUCAAGGGCAAAUGACCCAGGACUAGUUUAUGAUACCCCAUUUGAGGACUAUCUACCUUAUUUGUGUGGUUUGAACUACACAAAUUCACAGGUAGGUAAAUUGUUGAAACGCAAAGUAAAUUGCUCGGAGGUUGAAAGUAUCCCUGAAGCACAAUUAAACUAUCCUUCAUUUUGCAUAUCGAGACUUGGAUCAACUCCUCAGACAUUCACAAGAACUGUGACCAAUGUUGGUGAUGCCAAAUCAUCUUACACGGUGCAGAUAGCUUCACCUAAAGGCGUUGUCGUGAAAGUUAAGCCCCGCAAGCUAAUUUUCUCGGAGUUGAAGCAGAAGUUAACAUACCAAGUGACAUUUUCCAAGAGAACCAACAGCUCAAAGUCUGGGGUCUUUGAGGGAUUCUUGAAGUGGAAUUCUAACAAGUACUCUGUGAGAAGUCCAAUUGCAGUUGAGUUUGCAUUGGCUACAAAGUAUUCAGACAUUUGAAAAUGCUGUUUGUUUACACAAUUAACUUUAUGUUACUUUUUUCAUAUAUAUUAUUAAAUGUAUUGUUUCAAUAAACUUUACGUUCUCAGCUGAUUGAAGAAUGCAAAAGCAUAUCCUCUUUGAUAUUAGUGACCAUGCCCUGCUCAACCUUUCUUCUUGAUUUCAUUUUUUUCAACAAAUAAAAUGACUUCUCGAGAUAAUAAAUAUUAGUUGAGUGACCGUAAAAGAAUCUCAGUUCAUAAUUAAGCACCCUUUGAUCCAGAAUCUUGACAGUGACUUCAAAAAUAAAGUCUUAGUCUUUGGUGACUUCAAACUUAUUAAUAAGACAAGAAAAAUAAUAGAGACAUAUCCUAUGAAUUUCCUGGAAAAACUGUUACGUUGUAAUGUUACGUAAACCCUUACAACUAGUUAAUAGAGUAAGGUUCGUUCAAAUCCUUAUAUAAAAAAAAAGAUUCUCAUUCUCAAUUAGCCCCUUUCUGCACCCCCAAUGAAAUGGAAUGAAUCAAGAAUUAAAGACAAAUAUGACUAAUAUAAUAAGAAAUGAAUUUGCCCUACCUAAAUCCUUACGAUUAGUUAAUAGAGUAAGGAUUGUUCAAAUCCAUAUGAAGAAGAAUUCAUUCUUAAUACUCGGCCUCAAAAUAACUCACGAGGAGGAGGGGCUUCUUAUGUAAAUGUACACCCGACAAAAAAAACUUUCUUACUAAAAUGGUCGUAGUAUAUGUAAUAUAUCGAUAUUUGUAUGAAUAAUGUAUAAUUAUGUAUAUAUAGUAUUUAUACAUUGUAUCAAUUCAUCUUCCUCAAUAAUGUGUUUUCUUGAAUCUUAAAUUCUUAACCAACUCAAAUCUUCUCUAAUCAUUCCAAACAGUUUUGUUGUUCGCUAGCUCUUAUUGAAUUGUAUAUCUUUUGUAUAUAUAUAUAUAUAUAGAAAAGAUUUGAUUAUGAUAUAGGGACUCAACACUUUAAGAGUUGAUGUUCAUUUGAUUCUCUAAAAAUAUGAAAUAGUGACACUUUCUUUAAGCAAAAGGAUAAAUUAUAAAAUCAAAUUAAAGAGGAUUGAUCGAAGAAUAACAUUAACUUGUUGAUGCUUAGCUUAUUCAUAUGAUGACCAAAAAAAAAAAAAAACUUCGAAUUUCCUGCAAAAGACGUUGUAAUUAAUUCACAUGGAUAUUUUUUAUUAACAUAUUGUGGCCAAAUAGACUUACUAACACAAAUAUAAUAUAAUAGUACUAAAUUAAUAUUCGGUAUAUUAAUAGUUUAUCCAAGACAAUAGGUUUUUUCAUGUCUUGAUUUGUGUCAAUGAAAAAAAUCACUCAUUUCAAUAUGAUAAUAUGACAAUAUAUUUUCAGAAGACCCUAUAUAAAUAUACUAUCCCACUAAUAUUAUCUUUAAAAAUAUGAAUAUAUCUAAGAUAAUUUAAGUGAAAUGUGAUUUUAUUAUCUUUCUUACAAAUUUAAAUCUAGUUAAAUUCAUGUCUAAUUUUUUUAUUGCAUCCAAAAAUUCUAGUGUUGUCACGACUACAAAUUAUCUUCCUGAGUGCGCCUCCUAUGUUGACACAUUUUAAAUGAGAAACCAUUUAUGCAUAUGGUUACAAAAAUUUCCUAUGUUGCUUAUAUAAUUUAUUCUCUCAUCAUCGUACAUUGAAUAUUUCUUGUGAAGAUACAUUGAAUAAUAUUUUGUUAUUAAGAAACAAUGACCAUUAUAUAUAGUGAAUUUGUUUUUACGAUGAAUCACUGAAUUUUUGAAUUUAUUUUAUAAUGAAUCAUUAAAAAAAAAUAUAUAUAUUACCGUGAUUCAUACAUAUACAUUGUACUUUGUGUAUAAUGAUUUUUUUUUAAAUAUAAGUUCAAUAAAUAUAAUGUAUAAUUUAGUAAGAUAUAAUGAUUUUGAUAUAUUCACUGUACUUACUAUAUAUAAUAAAUUUAUUUCUUAUGUGAAUUCAAUAAAUAUGAUACAUAAAUUAAUAAGAUAUAAUUAUUUUAAUGUAAUCAAAGUUGACCUUCAUUGAAUCUCAAAAACACUCUUUAAUUAAUAAAUAUUAAUUUAUGAAUUAAAUAAUACCUUUGUAGAAUAACAAUAUUUUAUGAUCUCACAUAUAUUAAUUUAAUGAGAUUUUAAGGUAUGCGAGCAAAAUCUACUAAAUUCGAUCAAAUCUGCGUGCAGGUUACUAGCUCUACCCUUCACGUUAUACCAACUAUAUAUGUCAAAUGUCCACGCAAGUCCAAUUGAAGGAGAGCAAUGUACAUCAUCCAUCAUUCACGUUUUGUCUUGCAAAUAAAUUAAAUUAACCAAUUUUUAUUUUAGUAUUUAAAAUUAACCAAUUUUAGUUUUAUAAUUAAUAUUUUUAAUCUCGACCAACUGAAAUCUCCUAUGAGCACCUCGAAUUUUAAAUUUGAGCUCCUCUCAAUAUUUCAAGACUAUUAAUAUAUUAUUCGUUCAAAAUAAUUGAUGACUAUUGAAAUUAAUUCUCGGAAAAGGAUCUUGAAUAGUUACAUGUUCAUGCAUUGCAACUUUAUUUAGACAUAAUAUUUGCAACUUUUUAUUACAAAGUGAUUUAACAGUUAAAAUUUGUAUGGUAAAAAGAUGUUCAUAUAAUUAAGCAAAUUUACAGUGGAAAGUCUUUUGGAAAAUCUACAAAUUCAUAGAAUAAAGUUCAAUGUAACUUUAGUUUCAUUCACUCUUAGUGGCCUUUCUUUUCUUUUCCUUUAAGUAUUAAUUUUAAUUUUCUUGUCCACAUUAUUCUUUUUUUCCACUUGGAAUAAAAUAAUGUCAUGAGCAAAGAUGAAGUAUAAAUAGACAGUUGCAUCAAAGCAGAAAAAUUCAUCAAAUACAUUAUCGCUUCAGCCAUGGGAUUCUUCAAAGUCCUUCUUGUUCUCAUCUUUUGUUCUUUCCCAUGGCCGACUAUUCAGAGUGGUCUCGAGAUUUAUAUAGUCCAUGUUGAAUCCCCUGAAAGCCUGAUUUCUACUAAAUCAUCGUUAACGGAUCUAGACAGCUAUUACCAUUCUUUUUUGCCUAAAACUACUACCGCAAUUAGCUCGAGUGGAAAUGAAGAGGCUGCUACCAUGAUCUAUUCCUAUCACAAUGUGAUGAAAGGAUUUGCAGCAAGAUUAACAGAAUCUCAUGUGAAGGAAAUGGAGAAGAAACGAGGCUUUGUUUCCGCUCAGAAACAGAGGAUUUUGUCCUUGGAUACUACUCAUACUCCAAGUUUUCUUGGUUUGCAGCAGAACAUGGGUGUAUGGAAGGAUUCCAACUAUGGAGAAGGCGUGAUCAUCGGAGUUAUAGACACUGGAAUUCUUCCUGACCAUCCUUCGUUUAGUGAUGUUGGAAUGCCUCCUCCGCCUGCUAAAUGGAAAGGAGUUUGUGAGUCCAACUUCAUCAACAAGUGUAACAACAAGCUCAUAGGAGCGAGGUCUUACCAUCUUGGCAAUGGUUCCCCGAUAGAUGGUAAUGGGCAUGGUACACACACAGCAAGCACAGCUGCGGGAGCUUUUGUGAAAGGUGCUAAUGUAUAUGGCAAUGCUAAUGGAACUGCAGUUGGUGUUGCCCCUCUUGCCCACAUAGCUGUAUAUAAGGUAUGUAGUUCUGAUGGCGGUUGUUCUGACAGUGAUAUUUUAGCUGCCAUGGAUUCAGCUAUAGAUGAUGGAGUAGAUAUUCUUUCUAUAUCCAUUGGUGGAUCUCCCAACUCUUUCUAUGAUGACCCUAUUGCUCUUGGGGCAUACAGUGCAACGGCAAGAGGUGUUUUUGUAAGUUGUUCUGCAGGUAAUAGAGGCCCUUUGCUUGCCUCAGUUGGAAAUGCAGCCCCUUGGAUUCUUACAGUAGGUGCCAGCACGCUUGAUAGAAAGAUAAAAGCUACUGUUAAGCUUGGAAAUGGAGAGGAAUUCGAAGGAGAAUCUGCUUAUCGUCCACAGAUUUCCAACUCAACAUUCUUCACUCUAUUUGAUGCUGCAAAACAUGCAAAAGAUCCAUCGGAAACCCCUUAUUGCAAACCAGGGUCACUCAAGGGCCCUGUUAUAAGAGGAAAGAUAGUAUUAUGUCUAGCAGGCGGUGGCGUCUCCAGUGUUGCUAAAGGAAAAGUUGUGAAGGAUGCUGGAGGUGUUGGCAUGAUUGUCAUCAAAACAUCACAAUAUGGUGUCACUAAAACAGCUGAUGCUCAUGUUCUUCCAGCAUUGGAUAUUUCAGAUGCAGAUGGAUUAAGAAUUCGUGCCUAUACAAACUCAAUAUUAAACCCUGUUGCUACAAUCACAUUCCAAGGAACAACAAUUGGAGAUGAAAAUGCUCCAAUAGUUGCUGCAUUUUCUUCUCGGGGACCAAGUAGAGCUAGUCCUGGAAUCUUGAAACCUGACAUAAUCGGUCCUGGUGUUAACAUCCUUGCUGCUUGGCCUACACCCGUGGAUGACGACAAAAACACCAAAUCCACAUUCAAUAUUAUAUCAGGCACCUCAAUGUCUUGCCCUCACCUUAGUGGUGUAGCAGCUCUGCUGAAGAGCGCACAUCCUGAUUGGUCUCCUGCUGUUAUUAAGUCUGCAAUCAUGACAACGGCUGACACGUUAAACCUUGCCAAUAGUCCAAUACUAGACGAAAGGCUCCUUCCUGCUGACAUUUUUACCACUGGUGCAGGACAUGUUAAUCCAUCGAGGGCAAAUGAUCCAGGACUAGUUUAUGAUACCCCAUUUGAGGACUAUGUACCUUAUUUUUGUGGUUUAAACUAUACCAAUCGAGAGGUAGGUAAAAUGUUACAACGUCAGGUGAAUUGUUUGAAGGUGAAAAGUAUCCCUGAAGCACAAUUAAACUAUCCUUCAUUUUCCAUAUUCAGACUUGGAUCAACUCCUCAAACAUAUACCAGAACUGUGACCAACGUUGGUGACGCAACAUCAUCUUACAAAGUGGAGGUAGCUUCACCAAAAGGCGUUGCCGUGGAAGUUAAGCCCACAGAGCUCAAUUUCUCUGAGUUGAACCAGAAGUUAACAUACCAAGUGACAUUUUCCAAAAGAACCAACAGCUCAAACUUUGUGAUUGUUGAUGGAUUCUUGAAAUGGACUUCUAAUAGGCACUCAGUGAGAAGUCCAAUUGCAGUUGUGUUAGCCUAAUCAAAAAUUGGCUUUAUAAGUGCAUAAGGACAUUUGAUUGUAGUGAAAAUGCUGUUUGUUUUCACAAUAUAUUUUAUGUUACUUUUACAUUAUUAAUUGUAUAUUUACAGCUGAUUGAAAAAUACAAAAGAAUAUCCUCUUUGAUUAAUGCACAUUAAUUUCUAUUAGUGGCCAUGCCCUGCUCAACUUUUCUUCUUCAACUAGACAAUAGCAAGCACGAGCCUUAGGUAAAUAAAUAUGAUUAUAAUUCAAUUAAUUUAAAUAAUAAUUAUUAAAUUGAAUUCAUUUAAUUUGAAUAUGAUUUGUUAUAGUUCUAUAAUUUGAAUUUAAGUCAAUGGGUUGAUGAGUGCUUAAUCUUUCAUAAAAUGAAGGGUUCAAAUUUUAGUAGCGUUUUAUUCUUAACAUUAAUUACUUCUAAAUUAUUUUCCAAGAAUUAAUACUUGUUAGAAACAAUAAUUGGAAAUGUGAUUGACGAAGAAGAGACAUUCAUCGUAUACAUAUUGGAAAAUACAAACAAAUCCCUCUUCGAUACAAUAAAAUCCUAUAUUUAUACAUGCAAUUUUUUCUUAUACUACUUAUAGAGAGUCUUUAUUAUAUUUGUAGAAUUUAAGAGAUGACUUUUCAUAAGAGUCAUGUUUUUUCAUGAAUAUAUGACUUUUCAUAAUAGUCAUGUCCUUUCAUGAUCAGAUGAUUUUCAUAAGAAUCAUGUUCUUUCAUGAUGUGUCAAUUUAAUAUAAAAAUUCUACAUUACAAAAAAUUCAACAAUACUAACAUCAAUUAUUAGGAUUAUUAAUGUGGUAAAAUAGUAUUAGAAAAAAUAAUCUUCAAUAGUCAUAUCAAGCAUUGUUUUCUUAAUAGAUAUGUCAAGUUCAAAUGUGAUAAAUGAAAAGUAGAUUAAACUAAAAAGUAUUAAAAGAGUUAAAAGAUUUAAAUUAAUAAAUACACUCUUUUUGUUUAGGAUUUUUUUAAAAGUGUGUAAAUAAAAUAUAAACUAAUAAUAUGAAGGAAUAGAUUCAUUAAUAAUUGUGCACAGAUAAUUUCUCUCUUAAUAUUAUGCACAUAUGGAAUAAACCAAAAAAAAAAAGUUUUAAAAUAUAACAACUAAUCAUGAAAUGACAAAGCACACAUUUUGAUACCUCAAAUUUAAACUCACUCUUCUAUUAUAGUAAAUUUCAUUAUUUUCAACAAAUAAAGUUCUUAGUCUUUGGUGACUUCGAAAAUUAAUUAGAACAUUAAUGCUUAACUUUAUCAAUAAGACAGGAAAAAUAAUAGAGACAAUAUCCUAUGAAUUUUCCUAGGAAAAACAUUUGUAAUAAUUCAAAUGAAAUGUUGCUAUUCGUGUGUUGCCCCUCAUGUACUAGUGGCAUUAUUUUAUACUUUUAGAAAUAAAUUUGCACUGCCUAAACCCUUACUACUACUUAAUAGAGAAGGAUUGUUCAAAUGCGUAUAAUAAAUAUUCUUAUUCUUAAUUAUCCUUUUUUUGUACGAUCAGUGAAAUGGAAUGAAUCAAGAAUUAGGACGAAUAUGAUUCUAAUGUAAUAAGAAAUGAAUUUUGGAAUUUUCCCUACCUAAACCCUUACAAUAAUUGAUAGAGUAAGGAUAGUUCAAAUUCGCAUAAAAAAAUAUUUUUUUUCUUAAUUAACUCCUUUCUGCACGCUAAAUGAAAUUGAAUGAAUAAAAAGUAUGAAUGGAUUUGACUCAAUAUCAUAAUAAUAAUAAUAAUAAUAAUAAUAAUAAUAAUAAUAAAAACUUAACUUAGUCCUAAAUCGACCUCAAAAUAGCUCAUUAAGAGUCACUGCCCAAGAUCGUAAGGGAGGGCUUCAUGCAAUGUAUCAAUCUUGUAUAAUUAUGUAUAUAUGAUGUAUAACUAUGUAUCAGAGAUGUAUAUACAUCCAUAUACUCUGUUUGUACAAUGUUUAUGCAUUGUAGUUCAUCUUCCUCAACAAUGUGUUUUCUUGAAUCUCAACCAAUUCAAAUCUUCUCUAAAUAUGACUCAACACUUUAUGAACGUGCAUAAUUUUAUGCAUAUCGUGCCUCUACGGUAUACAAAAACGAACAGAAAACCGAACCAAAUCGCAAAUCGAGUUAACCCCCCAAAAAAACCCGAUUAGUGGUUUGGAAUUGAAAAAAAAAAUUGACUGUAUUUGGUUUUAACUAGAAAAAAUCAACUCGACAUUAUAUAUGUUAUUUUAAAUUUAUUUUAUGUAUAAAAAUAUUUACUUUGAUAUGAUUUUAAAAUAUUUUUUGUAUUUUUUCAUAAUUUUAUAAAUUUAAUAUACUUAGAAUUUGAAAUGUCCAACAACUAUUAUAGUUCAUAGAUGUUGAUAAUUAUAAUAAUACUUAAAUCAUAAUUAAAUUUAUAAUAAUGCAAAAAGAAAAUCAAUUCAACACUAAGAAUGACAAUAAUAUUGAAAAUUUGUUCUUUAGUUUUACAUUAGUUUAGAUAAUUAACAUACAUAGUUAAUUCUAAUUUUUCUUAAAUAGUUAGUAAUGUAACUAAUACUUAUUAAACUUAUUUUAACAUGAUUUAAUACUUUCAAAUUACGAUCAUUUUCAUUAUGACUUUACAAUAUUUAUUUUGUAUGAUGAUUUCAUUAUUAUUUAAUGUAAUAUUUUUGAGUCAUCAAUACUCCUCUCAUGUUUUGUAUAUUUUUUUUAAGAAACACCUUAGAUAAUAGUACUUUGGUUGGACUAAAGAAAAAUCUGAAGCACAAGUUAAUUAUAUGUUUGUAUGUAAACUUUACCGAAAAAUUCAAAAAACUGAAAAAAGUUCAAGGUUUAUUAUUUGGUCUGAUUUAUAAAUUUAAAAAUUCGCCACAAUGAUUUCGUUUGAUAUUUGUAAAAGCCGAACCAAUCCGAGGUUGAAAAACUCAAAAUAUUCAAAUUUUAUAAGUUUGGUUUGGUUUAUAAAUUUAAAAUUUUUAUACAAAUGAUUUAGUUUGGUAUUUGAAAAACCCGAACCAACACAAUCAUGUACACCCCUACGUGCCCCAAAGAAAGGAAAAACAAAUAAUUAUUUUUAACACAAAGAAUUGAUUGAAUUCGUUGUGUACUUUCCUUUUUUGAUAUACAUAGAUUAUAUAUUAAUUAUACACUUAUUAUUCAUGAAUUAAAUACAUACUCACUUCGUCCUAAUUUAUGUGACAUUGUUUCCUUUUUAGUCAGUGUCAAAAAGAAUGUCACAUUUCCUUAUAUGAUACGACAAGUAUUUAAAGGUACAAUUUCUCUUUUAUCUUUAUUGGUCCUGCUUAAUUUUAAAUAAUACUCUAAUACAUUUAUGAAGAGACAGAAACGUCAAUUCACUUUUGAAGGACAAUAUGGUAAACAAUUCAAAAAGUCUUCAUGUUGAAUGCCUUGAAUUGAGCCUUAGUUAUCUGUCAAUUAUGUAUUUUGGGCCCAAGCCUGUUAGGGCGUAGCUUAGCACUAUAUAUAGACGCUAUGACAAACCCUAUUCUGUAAUUCUGUUUUUGCCUUUCCGUAAUAAAACUGCUCCCCUCUUUCCGUGGACGUAGCCAACUUAUUGGUGAACCACGUAAAUCUGUUGUCUUGUUUUUCGCGUUUAUAUUUUCUCGUAUUAUCUCGAAUUCCGCAUAAUAAAUUGGUAUCAGAGCCUCCCGGUUAAUCGGUGUUCUUGGAGAAUUUCGAGAUGUCUGCUUUGAACGUGAGGUAUCAUUUUCUGAGAAGUGAGAAGAGAAUCAAGGUGAAGAAAGUAGGAACUGCUGAUAAUCUUGCUGAUAUGUUCACAAAGCCGGUUCCACAGAGCAAGUUUCAACACUGUUUGGACUUGCUCAACAUCAGAAGCUGUUAAUUGCCCUGCGGGGCAAUUCUGAGGAAGAGGGGGAGGCCUGGCACUAUCAUAGUGCGUCUGAAGAAUCUGUUUGGAGAAUUCAAGUCAAGGUGGAGAUUUGUUGAAUGCCUUGAAUUGAGCCCUUAGUUAUCUGUCAAUUAUGUAUUUUGGGCCCAAGCCUGUUAGGGCAUAGCUUAGCACUAUAUAUAGACGCUAUGACAAACCCUAUUCUGUAAUUCUAUUUUUGCCUUUCCAUAAUAAAACUGCUCCCCUCUUUCCGUGGACGUAGCCAACUUAUUGGUGAACCACGUAAAUCUAUUGUCUUGUUUUUCGCGUUUAUAUUUUCUCGUAUUAUCUCGAAUUUCGCACAACAUUUCAUUUAUUUUUUGAACUAUGUGUCAGGUCAAAUAAUGUCAUAUAAAAUGGGACGAAUGUGAGUAUAUUAUAUAUCUAUCCACUAUCAGUUUUAUUCCUUGGAUUUCCACAUGUAAAGACAAUAUUUUUUUCUAGCAGCCCCUGUUGGUCCUUUGGUGCCCCCACAAGUAAUCAAGUGGACUGAAAUGUAGUGCCAAUUUUCUCUAGGAAUUUCUGCAGUAAUUCAAAGGAAUAAAUAGAUAAAUAUGGAUUUCCACAUAUAAAAACACAACACAAAAUAAAUAAAAGUUUAAGUUGUGUUGGGAUAUUAAGUCUUGGGUCAACUUUUGUUAGGUAAAUGAGUUUGAUGAUUAGUAUACGCCAAUUAUACGAGAAAUUAUUAUGAUAAUAAUAGUUUAGAAGUUCAAAUAAUAUAUGAAGUUAAAAUUUAAAUUAAGUGUAAUUUUCUAUCGAUUGACAUGUAUGUGAUUAUCUCACUCGCCUCUUUCUUAUCUCCUGUAGACAUGUAGUUAAUACGAUUUUCAUGAUGUUUAUGGGGAUGAGUCACAUAUAUUUGGGUAUUUCGGUCGCCUCUUUCUUUUUUUCGCUCGUAUUUCUCACUAUUUUUUUUAUUUGGUAGCAAAAAUACAUAUAUAUAUAUAUAUAUAUAUAUAUAUAUAGAUUAGUGUAUCUGACUUAAUAUCUGUAAUGAAACUGUAAAUUAGUGAAACUAUAUAUACAUAAUUAUUUCAAACUAUAAAGAAAACUAGUAAAUAUUAUAGAAAUAUUUAUGUAAUUAGAUAAUUUCAGUUUUAUUUCUCGGAUGGUUCUCGCAUUAGAAAGUACCUACUUUCACCUUGGUAUACCUCUAUUGAAUGUGGCAUGUUUCUAAUGUUCUUUUAUCACAUUCAAGUGCAUCGAUGUGCCUUUUCUCAAUCGAAAAUGACAUAGAUAAUUCAAACUUUUAACAGAUGUUAUAAAAUGAGCUUUUUUCCUAAAGUUCAUUAACAAAUUUGAGCGAUUUUCCUUUUAGGGAUAAAAGAAAUUAAAGAAGAAUAAUACUAAUACUUUUCACUAUUUUACACUUAUUAUUCAUAGACUAGGUACAUAUAUUAUAUAUCUGCAAAUUUUAGUUUUAAAUCCUUGAAUGGAUGUUUACUCUUCCAAGAAGGAUCCGAAAUAGCUGCAUGUUUUCGAACACUUGCAACUUUUUUUAUAACAAAGUGAUUGUUUAACAUUAAAUAUAUUAUAGUGGAUGUCAUUUGGAAAAUAAAACUAUAGAAUAUAAUUUUCUGACACUAGAAGUGAUAAUUUUGUUCAUACACAUGGUCUUUUUUCCACAAUAAUUUUUCUAGAAGUUGAAUAGGUCAAUAAUAAAACACUAUAAAUAGAGAGUUGCUUCAAAAGCAGAAAAAUUCAUCAAAUACACUGUCCAAAUACAUCAGCACUUCUUAUAUUUGCAGCCAUGGGAUUCUUGAAAAUCCUUUUUGUUUUCAUCUUUUGUUCAUUCCCAUGGCCUACUAUUCAGAGUAAUCUCGAGACUUAUAUCGUCCAUGUUGAAUCCCCUGAAAGCCUAAUUACUGCUCAAUCAUCGUUAAUGGAUUUAGAUAGCUAUUACCUUUCUUUUUUGCCUAAAACUACUACCGCAAUUAGCUCUAGUGGAAAUGAAGAGGCUGCUACAAUGAUCUAUUCUUAUCACAAUGUGAUGACAGGGUUUGCAGCAAGAUUAACUGCAGAACAAGUGAAGGAAAUGGAGAAAAAACACGGCUUUGUCUCUGCUCAGAAACAGAGGAUUUUGUCUUUGCACACUACUCAUACUCCAAGUUUUCUUGGUUUGCAGCAGAACAUGGGCUUGUGGAAAGAUUCCAAUUUUGGAGAAGGCGUGAUCAUCGGAGUUCUAGACACUGGAAUUCUUCCUGAUCAUCCUUCAUUUAGCGAUGUUGGGAUGCCUCCCCCGCCUGCUAAGUGGAAAGGAGUUUGUGAGCCCAAUUUCACCAACAAGUGUAACAACAAGCUCAUUGGAGCCAGGUCUUACAAACUUGGCAAUGGUUCCCCGAUAGACGAUGAUGGACAUGGUACACACACAGCAAGCACAGCUGCGGGGGCUUUUGUGAAAGGUGCUAAUGUAUAUGAAAAUGCUAAUGGAACUGCAGUUGGUGUUGCUCCUCUUGCCCAUAUAGCCAUAUAUAAGGUGUGUAACUCUGUUGGUUGUUCUGACAGUGAUAUUUUAGCUGCCAUGGAUUCAGCUAUAGAUGAUGGAGUAGAUAUUCUUUCUAUAUCCAUUGGUGGAUCUCUGAGACCUCUUUAUGAUGAAAGUAUUGCUCUCGGGGCGUACAGUGCAACACAAAGAGGCAUUCUUGUUAGUUGCUCAGCAGGCAAUAAUGGUCCUUCGCCUGCCUCAGUAGAUAACUCAGCCCCUUGGAUUCUUACAGUAGGUGCCAGCACGCUUGAUAGAAAGAUAAAAGCUACUGCUAAGCUCGGAAAUGGAGAGGAAUUUGAAGGAGAAUCUGCUUAUCGUCCAAAGAUUUCCAACUCAACAUUCUUCACUCUAUUUGAUGCUGCAAAAAAUGCAAAAGAUCCAUCUGAAACCCCUUAUUGCAGACGAGGGUCACUCACUGACCCUGCUAUAAGAGGAAAGAUAGUAUUAUGUUUAGCAUUCGGCGGUGUAGCCAAUGUUGAUAAAGGACAAGCUGUGAAGGAUGCUGGAGGUGUUGGCAUGAUUGUCAUCAACCCAUCACAAUAUGGUGUCACUAAAUCAGCUGAUGCUCAUGUUCUUCCAGCAUUGGUUGUUUCAGCUGCAGAUGGAAGCAAAAUUCGUGCCUAUACAAACUCAAUAUCGAACCCUGUUGCUACAAUCACAAUCCAAGGAACAGUAAUUGGAGAUAAAAAUGCUCCAAUAGUUGCUGCAUUUUCUUCUCGCGGACCAAGUAAACCUAAUCCUGGGAUCUUGAAACCUGACAUAAUUGGUCCUGGUGUUAAUAUCCUCGCUGCUUGGCCUACUUCUGUGGAUGACAACAAGGACACCAAAUCCACAUUCAAUAUUAUAUCAGGCACCUCGAUGUCUUGCCCACACCUUAGUGGGGUAGCAGCUCUGCUGAAGAGAACACAUCCUGAUUGGUCUCCUGCUGUUAUUAAGUCUGCAAUGAUGACAACCGCUGACACAUUAAACCUUGCCAGUAGUCCAAUACUCGACCAAAGGCUCCGUCCUGCUGAUAUCUAUGCAAUAGGUGCAGGACAUGUUAAUCCAUCGAGGGCAAAUGAUCCAGGACUAGUUUAUGAUACCCCAUUUGAGGAUUAUGUACCUUAUUUAUGUGGUUUGAACUACACAAAUCCACAGGUAGGUAAAUUGUUACGACGCAGGGUGAAUUGCUCGGAGGUUGAAAGUAUCCCUGAAGCACAAUUAAACUAUCCUUCAUUUUGCAUAUCGAGACUUGGAUCAACUCCUCAGACAUACACCAGAACUGUGACCAAUGUUGGUGAUGCCAAAUCAUCUUACACGGUGCAGAUAGCUUCACCUAAAGGCGUUGUCGUGAAAGUUAAGCCCAGCAAGCUAAAUUUCUCGGAGUUGAACCAGAAGCUAACAUACCAAGUGACAUUUUCCAAGACAAUUAACAGCUCAAUGUCUGGGGUUGUUGAGGGAUUCUUGAAGUGGAAUUCUAACAGGCACUCUGUGAGAAGUCCAAUUGCAGUUGUGUUGGCAUUGGCUAAGUAAGUGCACAAAGUAUUCAAACAUUUGAAAAUGCUGUUUGAUUACACAAUAAACGUUCUGUUACUUUUUUCAUUGUUAAAACAAUAAACUUUAUGUUCACAGCUGAUUGAAGAAAGCAAAAGCAUAUCCUCUUUGAUAUUAGUGUCCUUGCUCUGCUUAACUUUUCUUCUUGAUUUCAUUUUUGUUCGACAAAUAAAGUGACUUCUCGAGAUAAUAAAUAUUAGUUAAGUGACCGAGUAAGAAUCUCAGUUCAUACUUAAAUUUGGGAAAUUUGUUGUCACCUACAUAAUAACACACCCUUUGAUCCAGAAUAUUGACAGUGACUUCAAAUAUAAAGUCUUAGUCUUUGGUGACUUCAAAAAGUAAUUGUGACGUCAAUGCUAAAAUUAUUAAUAGGACAAUUAAAAUAAUGGAGACAUAUCCUAUGAAUUUCCUAGAAAUCGAUUGAACUUUUAUUUUUUAACAUAUUAUUGAAGGGGACUAAUGUACAUCAUCCAUGGUACAUAUUGUCUUGCAAAGAAAUGAAAUUAACCAAUACAUAUUUUGUUUUGUUAUAAUUUUCAAAAAAAGAAAAAAAAGAACUAGAAUUAUAGAAUGCAUUGUUGCUAUUUGCGUGUGGCCCAUCAUGUAUUGGUGGCAUUAUUAUACUAAGAAAUGAAUUUUCCCUACCUAAACCCUUACAACUAGUUAUUAGAGUAAGGGUUGUUUAAAUUCAUAUAAAGAGAUGUUCUCAUUCUUAAUAAUUUUUCUACUCGCCAAGUGAAAUGAAAUGAAUCAAGAAUUAGGAUGAAUAUAACUCUAAUAUAAUUAGAAAUGAUUUUUUCGUACCUAAACCCUUAAAACUAGUUAAUAGAGUAAGGAUCGUUGAAAUCUACAUAAAUAGAUAUUCUCAUUCUUAAUCAACCCCUUUAUGCACGCCCAAUGAAAUUGAAUUAAAUAAAAAAUUAGAUGAAUUUAUCUCGCUUUAAAAAGUACCAACUUUUUUUACCUUGGUCCACUUUGAUUGAAUAAGUCAUUUUUCUAAUGUUCUUAUCGCAUUGAAGUGCAUGGAUGAGCCUUUUCUCAACUGUAAAUAACAUAGAUAAGUCAAACUUUUAACGAAUAUCAUGUAUAAGACCUUUCAUAAAGCUUGGCGAUAUUUUAAGGCUUUUCCUUUUAAGGAAAAAAAAUAAAUUAUUUUUAACGGAUGUCAUAGAUGAGCCAUUAAUUAAAGCUCGAUGACAUAUUUGACUCUUUUCCCUUUUAGGGAAGAAAAGAAAAUAAAGAAGAAUAAAACUAUAGAAUAUAGUUCAAUUUAGCUAGUCUCAUUCACACUACUAACCUUUCUUUUCUUCUCCACAUGGUCUUUUUGCCACAAUAUAAUAGUUUUUUUUCUAGAAAUUGAAUAGGUCACUAACAAAACACUAUAAAUAGAGUUGCUUCAAAGCAGAUAAAUUCAUCAAAUAAACUUUCUAAAAACAUAAUCAGUUCUUGUAUUAGCAGCCAUGGGAUUCUUGAAAAUAUUUCUUGUUUUCAUCUUUUGUUCUUUCCCAAGGCCUACUAUUCAGAAUGAUCUCGAGACUUAUAUAGUCCAUGUUGAAUCUCCUGAAAGCGUAAUUUCUACACAAUCAUCGGUAACGGAUUUAGAUAACUAUUAUCUAUCUUUUUUGCCUAAAACUACAACAAUCAGCUCAAGUGAAAAUGAAGAGGCUGCUAGCAUGCUCUAUUCCUAUCACAAUGUGAUGAAAGGGUUUGCAGCAAGAUUAACAGCAGCACAAGUGAAGGAAAUGGAGAAUAAACACGGCUUUGUCUCUGCUCAGAAACAGAGGAUUUUCACCUUGCAUACUACUCAUACUCCGAACUUUCUCGGUUUGCAACAGAACAUGGGCUUGUGGAAGGAUUCCAACUAUGGGAAAGGCGUGAUCAUCGGAGUUAUAGACACUGGAAUUUAUCCUGACCAUCCUUCAUUUAGCGACUUUGGGAUGCCUCCUCCGCCUGCUAAGUGGAAAGGAGUUUGUGAGUCUAAUUUCAAAACCAAGUGUAACAACAAGCUCAUUGGAGCGAGGUCUUACCAAAUUGCUAACGGUUCCUUGAUAGAUGAUACUGGACAUGGUACACACACAGCAGGCACAGCUGCAGGAGCCUUUGCAAAAGGUGCUAAUGUAUUUGGGAAUGCUAAUGGCACUGCUGUUGGUGUUGCCCCUCUUGCCCACCUAGCCAUAUAUAAGGUUUGCAAUUCUGAUGGCGAGUGUCCUGACUGUGAUAUUUUAGCUGCCAUAGAUUCAGCUAUAGAUGAUGGAGUAGAUAUUCUUUCAAUAUCCUUGGGUGGAUCUCCGAGCCCUUUCUAUGAUGACUGUAUCGCUCUUGGGGCAUACAGUGCAACAGAAAGAGGCAUUCUUGUAAGUUCUUCUGCAGGCAAUGAAGGUCCUUCUGUUGCCUCAGUGGAAAAAGCAGCCCCGUGGAUUCUUACAGUAGGUGCCAGCACACUUGAUAGAAAGAUAAAAGCUACUGUUAAUCUCGGAAAUAGAAAGAAAUAUGAAGGAGAAUCAACUUAUCGUCCAAAGAUUUCCAGCUCAACAUUCUUCACUCUAUAUGAUGCUGCAAAAAAUGCAAGUGAAACUCCUUAUUGCAGACCAGGAUCACUAACUGACCCUGCUGUAAGAGGAAAGAUAGUAUUAUGUCUACAAGAUGAUAUUGUUUCCAAUAUUGAAAAAGGACAAGCUGUGAAGGAUGCUGGAGGUGUUGGCAUGAUUAUCAUCAACCAGCCAAGUUACGGUGCCACUAAAUCAGCUGAUGCUCAUGUUCUUCCAGCAAUGGAUGUUUCAGCUGCAGAUGGAACAAAAAUCAUUUCCUAUAUGCACUCAACAUCAAACCCUAUUGCUAGAAUCACAUUCCAUGGAACAGUAAUUGGAGAUAAAUAUGCUCCCAUUGUAGCUGCAUUUUCUUCUCGCGGACCAAGUGAAGCUAGUCCUGGAAUCUUGAAACCUGACAUAAUCGGUCCUGGUGUUAAUAUCCUUGCUGCUUGGCCUACCUCUAUGGAUGGCAACAAAAACACCAAAUCCACAUUCAAUAUUAUAUCAGGCACCUCAAUGUCUUGCCCUCACCUUAGUGGCGUAGCAGCUCUGCUGAAAAGCACACAUCCUGAUUGGUCUCCUGCUGCUAUAAAGUCUGCAAUCAUGACAACCGCUGACACGUUAAACCUUGCCAAUAGUCCAAUACUAGACGAAAGACUCCUUUUUGCUGACAUCUAUGCAAUUGGUGCAGGACAUGUUAAUCCAUCGAGGGCAAAUGAUCCAGGACUAGUUUAUGAUACUCCAUUUGAGGACUAUGUAGCUUAUUUGUGUGGUUUGAACUACACAAAUCCACAGGUAAGUAAACUCUUACAACGCAAAGUGAAUUGCUGGGAGGUUGAAAGUAUCCCUGAAGCACAAUUAAACUAUCCUUCAUUUUCCAUAUCCGGACUUGGAUCAACUCCUCAGACAUAUACCAGAACAGUUACCAACGUUGGUGACGCCGAAUCAUCUUACAAAGUGGAGAUAGCUUCACCAAAAGGUGUUGUCGUGGAAGUUGAACCCUCCGAGCUGAAUUUCUCCGAGUUGAACCAGAAGUUAACAUACCAGGUAACGUUUUCCAAGACAAUCAGCAGCUCACAGCCUGAGGUUGUUGAGGGAUUCUUGAAGUGGAAUUCUAAUACGUACUCUGUGAGAAGUCCAAUUGCAGUUGUGUUAGUAUUGACUACAUAAGUGCAGAAAAUGCUGUUUGUUUUCACUGUAUACUUUAUUUUACUUUUUCAAUCUUUUAUUACUAUUUUGAUUUUCACUGGUCUUUAAUAAUUUUAUCAUUAUGAAAUAUUGUUUCAAUGUUUGUUCACAGCUGAUUAAAUAAUAUGAAACCAUUGCUUUUCCUUUAUCAUUACAUUUUAUAUAUUUAUUUUCUUUUCUUUCUUGAUUUCAUUAUGUUCAUAGAAAAAAAAACGACUUUUUGAGAUAAUAAACAUAAGGUGAGUGACCAUGUGAGAAUUUUUGUUAUUACUCGAAUCUGAGAAAUUUGUUGUUAGUUACCUAAUAAUGUAGCCUUUAAUCAUGACUCCGAAUCUUGAUUGUGACAUACUUACUUCUAUUUUUCUUAUAUGAAUAACUUGAUUAAAAUGUAAUUAUCUUCGAGAAUAAAAAGUUUGUUAUGUUUAAUACCUUUAGUUUGACCGGUAUCGAUCUUAAUUGUAGUUUCUUUUCAUUAGCAAAUUGCCUAACGCUCUUUUUUUUUUUUUUUUUUUGUGAACAAUGUAUCUUAUUGUUGUGAUAUUAUUAACCAUGUGAUUUAUUUGAAGUGUUUUAUUGAUCCCUGGUAAAGAUUAGUUGUUUUAUUUUAUUUAUUAUAAUAAAGUUUCUAAUUGAUUAAGUUAUUAUGUUUAUAUGUGACUCCUUUGUUUAGUAAAUGAUUUUGUGUAUGAAGUUAUUUAAUUCAUACACAGAAUAUUAAAAUUGUCGGUUCUUGUAAGUUACUAUCAUUGUUCACAAUCAAAGAUGAGGUAGGACAGAAUAUUGAUGCUUGUAUCACAAGAUUAAAAAUAAUUCGAUCUUAAUUAUGAGUAAUUCUAACUUCUUGUAUUAGUACAUUUUUUUAUGUAUUAAAUGAACCAAAUAGUGAUAUUAUUUUUUAUUCUAAUAUUAAUAAACAAUAUCUUUAGUCCAUUACAUGAACUGAUAUUCUUAAUUUAAUAUAAUUAUUAUGAUCUAUGUAGUUUAAUUUAUUAUUUUAAUCUAUUAAAAUGUGAGACUCUAUUACGAGUCAAUAUAUUUUUAAUAGAUUGAAUAAUGAAAAAUCACAUAAAUAAAUAAUAAUUGAUUAAUAUAACCAUGUCUCAAAUUUGAGAUAGAAGAUACCCCAUUAUAAUUACUUAUAAGUUUUUCAUAUCAGACCCAGGAUUCGAUUUUCAUGUGAGACCCAGGAUUCGAGAUAAGAGAUAAGUUAAGUAUAAAAUAGAGGGUUAAACUAGUUAGUUAAUUAAAAUUUUUUCUGAAGUUUAUUUUAAUUGAUUAGUAUCGAUAAAUUUAAUGUGGAAAAUUAAAUAAAUUGUAGUAGUAAAUUUCGAAAUUAAAUUGCGAAGUAUAAUUACAAAUUUUAUUGGUACAAACUGCAAUAUGUAAUUUUAUUAAAAUAUGGUUAAUUCAUGUUUUUAUGAACUAAUAUUAUAAUGGAAAUUUACGAUACUAAAAUUGUGAUUUAUGUUGUAUUUGACUAAUUGAUAAGUUCAACAACCAUUAUGGAACAAGUAUUUCUUUUAUUUUUGUCAUGAAUGAAUUAAUAACUUUAUUUUGUUCAGUGCCGAGUUAACUGACACAGAAGAUUAAUGACAGAAUCAUUUUUUCUUUUCCGACCUUUUAAUUUUUGCCUUGUUCAUUCGAAUGAAAAUCCACGAAAAAUUAUAAAUUUUCUAAAAACAUUUUUACCAAAUCAACUAGGGAAACAAAAAAAUGGAGUAUGGAGCCUAAAGGGUACAAAAUAUUAAUAAAAAUUUCAAAAUGGUAUAUAAAAUUUUAUAUUAACCAAAACAGUAAAAUCGCUGUAUCAACAGCUAUUUACUUCCCCGGAAAAAGCAAAAUCGCUGCUUUUUUUUUUAAAAAAAAAUGAAAUCGCUACCUAGGCAGCGAUUUUUAAAAAAAGAUUUUUUUUUUAAAUGGGGAAGUCGCUGCCUGGGCAGCGACUUUUAUAAAAAAAAAUAUUUUGAAAUGUGCAAGUCGCUGCCCAGGCAGAGACUUGUAUAAUUUUUUUUAAAAAAAUUUUAAUUUUUUUUCUUAAAAUAAAUGUGGAAUUUUUUUUAAAAAAAAAUUCUUUUUAAAGCAGCAAUUUUAUAAGAUAAAAAAAAAGUUAUAAUAUCUUUUUUUAUAAAAUUGCUACUUUAAAUUUUAUUUUUUUAAAAUAAUUAUUUAUGGAAAAUCGCAGCGAUUUUCAUAUUUUAAAAAAAAAUUAUAAAUUCGCUAACUGAUUUACAUAUUUUUUAAAAAAAAUUAUAAAUCGCUGCGUAGGCAGCGAUUUAAAAAAUUUAUAAUUUUUUUUAAAAUAUGAAAAUCGCUGUGAUUUUCCAAAAAUAUUACCCAAUUUAUAAAUUUAUAAAUUUUUUAAAUCGCUGCGAUUUUCCACAAAUAUUUUUUUUAAAAAAAUAAAAUUUAAAGUAAAAUUAUAAAAUUAUUGCUUUAAAAAGUCUUUUUUUUUAAUUUCCACAUUGUUUCCACAUUUUUUUAAAGAAAAAAAAUUAAAAAUUUCAAAAAAAAUAAAAAAUUAUACAAGUCGCUGCCCAGGCAGCGACUUUGCACAUUUCAAAAAAAAAAAAUUUUAUAGACUUCCUCAUUUAAAAAAAAUUCUUUUUUUUUAAAAUCGCUGCCUAGGCAGCGACUUUUUUUUAAAAUAAAUUAAAAUCGCUGCCUAGGUAGCGAUUUCAUUUUUUUAAAAAAAAAAUUCACAUUUUGCAAAAUCGCUGCCUCGGCAGUGAUUUUGCUUUUUCGGGGAUGUAAAUCGUUGUUGAUGCAGCGAUUUUGCCGUUUUGGUUAAUAUAAAAUUUUAUAUACCGUUUUGAAAUUUUUGUUAAUAUUUUGUACCCUAAAGGGUCCGUACUCCAAAAAAAAUGUAGCAUUAAAUGGUAUUAUAUUUAGUUAUAAUGUGAAUUCAUGAUAUUGAAUAAUAUUUUUUCUCUUCAAAUUCUAACCCUUAUACUAGUCAUACGUCUAUUCUCUUAAUUGCUACAAGUAAUAUAACGAGAUAGGAUUCUUUUUUCGAGUUGCAAGUGGUGAACUUUUUGGAACAAAAUGAGAAAUUACGAAAAACAAUGUUCACUAUUUAAAUUUUAUGGUCACAUUUUGGCAGAACAUACAUAUUUAGUUUAAAGAGAAAAAUCAAAUAAUUUGCAUGCCUGAUUCAAUUCGGUGGCAACACCAUAAUUUUAGUGAAAUAACAAUUAAACUACUAAAAAUAUUAAAGAAUGUAAUACAUAACUCACAAUGUCAUGGAACAUUUCCAAAGUCAAGAAAAUAUUAAAAAAUAUUAUCUGUAUUUUUAGUAUCUAAAUUAAUAUAGUCCAUAAUGUUUUAAAGUAUAGAUAUGUAGCUAUUGAAAAAUGAUUAAUUAAGCUAUAAUAAUUUUAAAAAAAUAAUUUGGACGUGUCUAAAUCUUGAUCAUCCUAUCUUAAAGGGGCCAGGUGUAACGUCUCUUUCUCAUGCUUAAUAAAUUUAUAGUUUACUCUUAAAUAAUUUAUUUAUUUAUUUUUGUAAGAAAAACAUAUUAUCCUAUUGAAGAUGAAGUUAUGACUUUUGGAGAAUAUAAGUAAUGUACACUAGAUAUAUGAUACAAUUACCCAAACACAGAAUCUAAAAUUUUAACUUAAUGAGUUUUAUUUUUAAAGUUCUUAACAUUGAGUUCACUACAAUUUUAAAAUUAUGGUUGAUUUUGUCAAAUUAUUGGAAAAGAUCAAAACUUAUACAUAAAACUAAUUAGAAGUUAUUAUAUUUUAUUAUAGAAGUAGUUAACAUCAGCCUGUUGGGAUUUUUAAAUUUUGUUGAAAUUCCCUAUCACUAUCUCAGCGUUAGUUAAGAGGGAUGCAAUAGGGGAAUGUUAAAUGUACAUGUAUUAUACAAUUUUGGGGAAAAGCUAAUAACAUUAUUUCAAGUCAUAUUGUACUUUUAUUAACUUUUAUUAGUAUUAUUAUUAUAGUUCUGGUGUCUAGAUUAAUUUAUCGUACCUCAACUAAUUUCACAUCAUACUAGGUCAAAAUUCUAUUGUGGCAUCCGAAAGUAUUAGAAGGUAGCAUGUGGCGAUUGAGGCUAGUCAACUCCAGCUCAACAAUGCUCAGUUUGACUAAGUGCUCACUCAAAAGGCAAAAGUUAUGGCAGAGAUUGUGGGUUAUCCUAGGGUUCCAAGCUCUCAAGUGAUUUUUUUGGAUAUAUUUCUAGACUUUUUUAGGUCCCCGCAAGGAUGACCUAACGAUCGAGCCAUCACACAUUGGAGUAACCUUCUAGAGAUAUCAGGUUAAAAACUCAGCUACUAUACACUAGGUGUGUGAGUCCGUUAGCUCUAACAUAUAUGAACACCUUGGCAAAAAUCACGUCCAUUAAGAAAUCAACAAACAUAAUGUGUAGUUUACUAAACUACCCUUGUUAUAUACUUCUCUUAAAAAUUGAACACUAUUAAUAUAAGGGUCUGGUUGAAAAACAUACUAAUUUUCGUCUUGAAUUUUUAACGUCACACUUAUUUUGGGACGGAGUGAGUACUUGUGAGAUGAACAAGACACCUCAUGUAUUAGUUAAGUCAUGCUCAAGUUGGCUUGAACACUACUUAAAAAGUAUAUUGUAGAUUAAUGACUUCAUCUAUAUGAUGUUGCUAUGCCAACUUCAUUAAAAAAAUAGAAGUUAAGUAUAAUAAAAUCGUUUUAGCGUAUAGAAUGACCAAUUCACAUUCUAUUUUCUAUUUAAUCCAAGAAUGACUAUUUCACAUUUCUAAAACUACCUUCUGACUUGCAAAUAAAAAAAUAAACUUCCAAUUUGUAUAUAUAGCCUCAAUGAAAAUUCAAAAAACACACACCACCAAAUAACAUCUCUUUCUUUAGUAGUAAAAUUAUGAUGGCUCAAUACAGUUCAGUUCUUACUAUAAUUGGGCUGAUUUGUGUGCUCUUUUCAUUUACUACUCAUGCAGCUGAACAGAACAAUUCACAAAUCUAUAUUGUUCAUUGUGAGUUCCCUUCUGGGGAAAGGACUGCAGAAUACCAAGAUUUAGAAAGCUGGUAUCUUUCUUUCUUGCCUACAACAACCUCCGUUAGUUCUCGUGAGGCACCACGUUUGAUAUAUUCCUAUCGAAAUGUCUUAACAGGCUUUGCAGCUAAGUUAUCAGAAGAAGAUAUAAAGGAAAUGGAAAAAAAGGAAGGAUUUGUUUCUGCACGCCCCCAGCAGUUUGUUAGUUUACACACCACACAUAGUGUCAAUUUCUUGGGAUUGCAACAGAACAUGGGGUUCUGGAAAGACUCUAAUUAUGGGAAAGGUGUGAUCAUCGGAGUUCUAGACACUGGAAUUCUUCCUGACCAUCCUUCAUUUAGUGACGUUGGGAUGCCUACCCCACCUGCUAAGUGGAAAGGAGUUUGUGAGUCAAAUUUUAUGAACAAGUGUAACAAAAAGCUCAUUGGAGCGAGGUCUUACCAACUUGGCAAUGGUUCCCCGAUAGAUGGUAAUGGACACGGUACACACACAGCAAGCACAGCUGCAGGAGCCUUUGUGAAAGGUGCUAAUGUAUAUGGCAAUGCUAAUGGAACUGCAGUUGGUGUUGCACCUCUUGCCCAUAUAGCCAUAUAUAAGGUAUGUGGUUCCGAUGGCAAGUGUUCUGACAGCGAUAUUUUAGCUGCCAUGGAUUCAGCUAUAGAUGAUGGAGUAGAUAUUAUUUCAAUGUCCCUUGGUGGAGGUCCAGUCCCUUUCCAUAGUGACAAUAUUGCUCUCGGGGCAUACAGUGCAACAGAAAGAGGGAUUCUUGUAAGUGCCUCUGCUGGAAAUAGUGGUCCAUCCCUUAUCACAGCAGGGAACACCGCCCCUUGGAUUCUUACGGUAGGCGCCAGCACUACUGAUAGAAAGAUAAAAGUUACUGUUACACUUGGAAAUACAGAGGAAUUUGAAGGGGAAGCUUCUUAUCGUCCACAGAUUUCCGACUCAAAAUUCUUCACUCUGUAUGAUGCUUCAAAAGGUAAAGGUGAUCCAUCUAAAACCCCUUACUGCAAACCAGGGUCACUCACUGACCCUGCAAUAAAAGGAAAGAUAGUCAUAUGUUAUCCAGGUGUCGUUUCUAAGGUUGUAAAAGGACAAGCUGUGAAGGAUGCUGGAGGUGUUGGUAUGAUUGCCAUCAACCUGCCAGAAGAUGGUGUCACAAAAUCAGCUGAUGCUCAUGUUCUUCCAGCUUUGGAGGUUUCAGCUGCAGAUGGAAUCAGAAUUCUUACUUAUACAAACUCAAUAUCAAACCCUACAGCUAAAAUCACAUUCCAAGGAACAAUAAUUGGAGAUGAAAACGCUCCCAUAGUUGCUUCAUUUUCUUCUCGCGGACCAAAUAAACCUAGUCCUGGCAUCUUGAAACCUGACAUAAUCGGUCCUGGUGUUAAUAUCCUUGCUGCUUGGCCUACCUCCGUGGAUGACAACAAAAAAACCAAAUCCACAUUCAAUAUUAUAUCAGGCACCUCGAUGUCUUGCCCUCACCUUAGUGGCGUAGCAGCUCUGCUGAAGAGCACACAUCCUGAUUGGUCUCCUGCUGCUAUUAAGUCUGCAAUCAUGACAACCGCUUACACUUUAAACCUUGCCAGUAGUCCAAUACUAGAUGAAAGGUUACUUCCUGCAGACAUCUUUGCAAUUGGUGCAGGACACGUUAAUCCAUCAAGUGCAAAUGAUCCAGGACUAGUUUAUGAUACCCCCUCCGAGGACUAUUUCCCGUAUUUAUGUGGUUUGAGGUACACAAAUGCACAGGUAAGUAAACUGUUACAACGCAAGGUAAAUUGCUUAGAAGUAAAGAGUAUCCCUGAAGCAGAAUUAAACUAUCCUUCGUUUUCCAUAUUUGGACUUGGAUCAACUCCUCAGACAUACACAAGAACUGUGACCAACGUUGGUGAUGUUGCAUCAUCUUACAAAGUGGAGAUAGCUUCACCUAUAGGAGUUGCCAUAGAAGUUGUACCCACAGAACUAAAUUUCUCCAAGUUGAACCAGAAGUUAACAUACCAAGUGACAUUUUCCAAGACAACCAGCAGUUCAGAAGUUGUGGUUGUUGAGGGAUUCUUGAAGUGGACUUCUACUAGGCACUCUGUGAGAAGUCCAAUUGCAGUUGUAUUGGUCUAGUGAAAAAUUGGCUAUAUAUAUAAGUGCAUAAAGUACUCGAACAUUUGAUUGUUUUACUGUAUACUCUAUGUUACUUUUUCAUUAUUAAACAAAGUGUUUCACUGUUUGUUCACAGCUGAUUGAAGAACAUAAAAGCAUAUCCUCUUUGAUAGAAGUCAUAUUUUCAUUGAUCGUUUCUUUUACUUUUUAUAUGUUCCAUUUUUUUAAGGGAAAAGGGUCCGAUAUACCCCUCAAUUUUGUCAUUUGGAGCUGAUAUAACUCUCGUUAUAAAAGUGGCUCAUAUAUGCCCUUACCGUUAUACAAACGGCUCACAUAUACCCCUGCCGUUACAAAAUGGCUCACAUAUACCCUUCAUUUAACGGAAGUUAAAAAAUUAGUUUUAAAUUUAUAUUUAUUACUUCUAAUUUUAAAAAAAAAAUUAUUUAGGGGUAUAUAUGAUUCUUUUAUCAAAGUUCAAGGUAUAUUUUAAUUUUUUUGAUACAUAAAUUAUUUUUUGACUUCUUUUAUUAUAAUUAUUUGAAUUUCUUAUUCUUAUUUUGUUUUUUCUUUCAUUCCUUAGUUUAAAGAAUAAAAAAAUUAAACUAUAUUUUUGUGUGUAUUGUAAUUUACUCUCGUAUUCGAAGAAAAAAUUUGAUCAUGUACAAUAAGUUUUACAAGAAUAUUAGUGAAACAUAAAUAAAUCUGAUUAUCAAAAUAAUAAUUAUAAAUUAGUCAUUGAAACAAAAAAAAAGUCAAAAAAAAUAUGUUUGAUGAGGAUUAAAUUUACUCAUAUGGGAUUAUAUUUUUUAGAAAAAAUAAUAAAAAUUUAGAUUAAAAUUAUUAUUUUUUUCAUUUCCGUUAGAGGAAAAGGGUAUAUGUGAGCCAUUUGUUUACAAGUAGGGUGGGGUAUAUAUGAGCCACUUUCAUAACAAGGGGUAUAUCAGCUCUAAAUGACAAAGUUGAAGGAUAUAUCAGACACUUUUCCCUUUUUUUUAAAGAAAGAGAGUUCAAAAAUGCCUGUUAAUCUCCAGACUCCAAUUAUAUAUUCCGUUUACAAAGCUAGCAUAUGUAAGAGUUGAGAAAACUUGAUAGCAUUCAUACGAAAAAUAGCUAUUGUCACGAACUUUCAAAUUCCAUUCGAAAACUCCAAGAUAAUGUCCUCAAAUUUCAGUUGUAAAUUUAGAACAUUACAAUCGUGUGACAUGACAUAAUUAUAUUUCUUCAACCCUCUAAUUAUGAAUAUUCUCAGGAGAAACUAAAAUCAGUAUUGAAUAUAUUAAUGAAACAGAAUGAUGCAUAUAGCGAUUUUAAAAAUAAUUUGGAAGUGUCUUCAUCUUGAUCAUCCCAUCUUGAAGAAGUCUGGUGUAAGGUCUAUUUCUCAUGCUUAGUAAAUUUAUAGUUGCAGAUGAGGUUGUGACUUUUCAGGAAUAUAAAUAAUCGUACACUAGAUAGAUGAUACAGUUGAAAGUUAUGAUUUAUAAUUUAAUGUUUAUGAAAAUUUCGGAAUAGGAUCAAUAUUAUCCUUAACUCUGCGAAAUAGACCACUGAUGAUGCCUUCCAUUACAUUUUGGGAUGAAAAGAUGUCCCUGCAGUUAUCCCCAACAGACCACAAGUAUCAUCAAGAGAUAACAACCCAAAUUUUUAGUGAUGUGGCAAGCCACGUGGAACCAAUCCCUUCACUUUACCGUUGACAAUUAAGAUUUACUACAAGAAACUGGACCCUUACCAGCGACUUUUGGAACUUUAUUGCGACUAUUAUCGCCGCUUUCCUAGUUGGCAACUCGUAGGUGGAGGGAUUAGUCUCACGUCACAAAAAAAAUUGGUUUGAUAACUUCUUAAGGUAUUUGUGGUCUCUUAGGAUAAUAACAAAGGUAUUUUUUAUCCCAAAAUAUGACCGAGGGUAUAAGUAAUCUAUUUCGAAUAGUUCAGGUUGACAAGCAUAAAUUUAGUUCAAAGAUUUCACGAUCUGUAGUUAAGGAGGCACCACACAUAUUUUUAUCUCAUUAAAACAAAAGGUCAACUUUAAGUGGUAAUGAUUUGAUUUUUUCAAUAUAUAUUGACAAGGCUCAAAAAUUAUAAAACUUAGAAGUUAAUCUUUUUUAUUAUAGAAAUACUUGACAUCAGACCUGUUGGGAUUUUUUAAACUUUAUUGUAAUUCCCUUUCACUAUCUCAGCGUUAGUUAAGAGGGAAUAUAUAAGGAAAUGUACAUGUAUUUUUCAAAUUUGGGGGAAAAGCUAAUGACAUUAUUGUUUGAGUUAUAUAGUACUUUCUUUUUAUUUUAAUUAUAUUUGUGGUGUAUGAGUUAACUUGUCGCACCUCCACUAAUUUUACAGGAGACUAUGUCAAAAUCUGAUGGUGGCAUCUGUAGUUUACUUAACUACCCUUAUUUUAUAAACAUCUCUUAAAAAUUGAACACUAUUAAGAAAAUGGAGUAUACAUGUAUCAUUCAAAAAGUCAUAUUAUUUUUUGUCUGAAAUCCCUAACAUCACACUUACUUUGGGACGGAGUGAGUACUCGGGAGAUGAACAAGACGCCUCAUGUAUUAGUUAAGGCGUGUUCAAGUUGACUCGAACAUUACUUAAGUAUAUUGUAGAUUGAUGACUUCAUCUAUAUGAUGUUGCUAUUCCAACUUCAUUAGCAAAUAGAAGUUAAGUAUAAUAAAUUUGUUUUAGCGUAUAGAUGACCAGUUCACUUUCUAUUUUCUAUUCAAUCCAAAGAUGACUAUUUCACUUUUCUAAAACUAACUUCUGACUUGCAAAUUAAAAAAUAACUUCCAAUGUGUAUAUAUAGCCUCAAUCAAAAUUCAAAAAGCACACACCAAAUAAUAUUUCUUUCUUUAGUACUAUGAUGCCUCAAUACAGUUCAAUUCUUACUAUAUUUGGGCUGAUUUGUGUGCUCUUUUUAUUUUCCACUAAUGCAACUGAACAGAACAAUUCACAAAUCUAUAUUGUUCAUUGUGAGUUCCCUUCUGGGGAAAGGACUUCCAAAUACCAAGAUUUAGAAAGCUGGUAUCUUUCUUUCUUGCCUGCAACAACCUCGGAUAGUUCUCGUGAGGCACCACGUUUGAUAUAUUCCUAUCGAAAUGUCCUGACAGGUUUUGCAGCUAAGUUAUCACAAGAAGAUAUAAAGGAAAUGGAAAAAAUGGAAGGAUUUGUUUCUGCGCGCCCCCAGCGGCUACUUAAAUUACACACCACACAUAGUGUCGAUUUCUUGGGGUUGCAACAGAACAUGGGGUUCUGGAAAGACUCGAAUUAUGGGAAAGGUGUGAUUAUUGGAGUUAUUGACUCGGGUGUUUUCCCAGAUCACCCCUCAUUUAGCGAUGUCGGGAUGCCACCUAUCCCUGCUAAAUGGAAAGGAGUGUGUGAGUCCGAUUUCGCGACCAAGUGUAACAACAAGCUCAUUGGAGCGAGGUCUUACCAAAUUGCUAAUGGUUCCCCAAUAGAUAAUGAUGGACAUGGUACACACACAGCAGGCACAACUGCAGGAGCCUUUGUGGAAGGUGCUAAUGUAUAUGGCAAUGCUAAUGGCACUGCUGUUGGUGUUGCCCCUCUUGCCCACAUAGCCAUAUAUAAGGUGUGUAAUUCUAAUAGUUGUUCUGACAGUGAUAUUUUAGCUGCCAUGGAUUCAGCUAUAGAUGAUGGAGUAGAUAUUCUUUCAAUGUCCCUUGGUGGAAGUCCAGUUCCUUUCUAUGAAGACAGUAUUGCUUUCGGGGCCUAUGCUGCAACAGAAAGAGGGAUUCUUGUGAGUUGCUCUGCUGGAAAUAGUGGUCCAUCCUACAUCACAGCAUCAAACACAGCCCCUUGGAUUCUUACGGUAGGAGCCAGCACUAUUGAUAGAAAGAUAAAAGCCACUGUUACACUUGGAAAUACAGAGGAAUUUGAAGGGGAAUCUGCUUAUCGUCCACAGAUUUCCGACUCUACAUACUUCACUCUAUAUGAUGCUGCAAAAAGUAUAGGUGAUCCAUCUGAAACCCCUUAUUGCAAACCAGGGUCACUCACUGACCCUGCAAUAAAAGGAAAGAUAGCCAUAUGUCAGGCAGGUGUCGUUUCAAAUAUUGAAAAAGGACAAGCUGUGAAGGAUGCUGGAGGUGUUGGCAUGAUUGUCAUCAACCCAUCACAAUAUGGUGUCACUAAAUCAGCUGAUGCUCAUGUUCUUCCAGCAUUGGUUGUUUCAGCUGCAGAUGGAAGCAAAAUUCUUGAUUAUACCAACUCAAUAUCGAACCCUAUUGCUACAAUCACAAUCCAAGGAACAGUAAUUGGAGAUAAAAAUGCUCCCAUAGUUGCUGCAUUUUCUUCUCGCGGACCAAGUAAACCUAAUCCUGGGAUCUUGAAACCUGACAUAAUUGGUCCUGGUGUUAAUAUCCUCGCUGCUUGGCCUACUUCUGUGGAUGACAACAAGGACACCAAAUCCACAUUCAAUAUUAUAUCAGGCACCUCGAUGUCUUGCCCACACCUUAGUGGCAUAGCAGCUCUGCUGAAGAGCACACAUCCUGAUUGGUCUCCUGCUGCUAUUAAGUCUGCAAUCAUGACAACCGCUUACACGUUAAACCUUGACAGUAGUCCAAUACUAGAUGAAAGGUUACUUCCUGCAGACAUCUUUGCAAUUGGUGCAGGACACGUUAAUCCAUCAAGUGCAAAUGAUCCAGGACUAGUUUAUGAUACCCCCUCCGAGGACUACUUCCCGUAUUUAUGUGGUUUGGGAUACACAAAUGCACAGGUAAGUAGCCUGUUACGACGCACAGUGAAUUGCUUGGAAGUGAAUAGUAUCCCUGAAGCACAAUUAAACUAUCCUUCUUUUUCCAUAUAUGGACUUGGAUCAACUCCUCAGACAUAUACAAGAACUGUGACCAACGUUGGUGAUGCUACAUCAUCUUACAAAGUGAAGAUAGCUUCACUUAUAGGAGUUGCCGUAGAAGUUGUACCCACAGAGCUAAAUUUCUCCGAGUUGAACCAGAAGUUAACAUACCAAGUGACAUUUUCCAAGACAACCAGCAGUUCAGAAGUUGUGGUUGUUGAGGGAUUCUUGAAAUGGACUUCUACUAGGCACUCUGUGAGAAGUCCUAUUGCAGUUGUGUUGGUCUAGUGAAAAAAUUGGCUUGCUUUUACUGUAUACUUUAUGUUACUAUUUCAUUAUUGAAUAAAGUGUCGCUGUUUGUUCACAACUGAUUGUAGAAUAAAAAGCAUAUCCUCUUUGAUAGAAGUCAGUUUUUCGUUCAUCGUUUCUCUUACUUUUUAUAUGUUCCAUUUUUUUUUUAAGACAAGAGUUCAAAAAUGUAUGUUAUCUCCAAUCAUAUAUGUUGUUUACAAAGCUAGCAUAAGAGAUGAGAACACCUUAUAGCAUUCGUACGAAAAAUAGCUAUCGUCACAAACUUUCAAAUUGUAUUGAUAAAACUCCAAGAUAAUGUCCUGAAAUUUCAGUUGUAAAUUUAGAACAUUAUAAUAGUGUGAUAUGACAUAAUUUGAAUAUUCUCAGGCGACACUAAAAUUAUUAAUUAUUGAUUAUAUUAAUGAAAAAGAAUGAUGCAUUAGCGAUUUUUAAAAUAAUUUGAAAGUGUCUUCAUGUUGAUCAUCCUAUUUUGAAGAGGUCUGCUGUAAGGUCUCUUUCUCAUGCUUAGUAAAUUUAUAGUUGCUGAGGCUAUUAAAAUUUAUAAUAUAAUGUUUAUUAAAAUUUUGGAAUAUAGUCAAAAUUGCCCCUGAAUUCUGUGUAAUAGUCUAUUUAUAUCCUCUACUACAUUUUGAGAAAGACCACAAAUACCCUCAAGAGCUAACAAUCCAAAUUUUUAGUGAUAUGGCAAGCCACGUGGAAUUAACCUCUCCACCUAAGUAUUGACAACUAAGAUUCACUACAACAAACUGCACCUUUAGCAGCGACUUUUGGUUUUCGCAUAAUCACUGAAAACCUUUAGUUGCGAUAUUUUAAAAAUUUGUGGCGACUCUUGUUGCCACGAAAGAUCUAAUUUCUCGUAGUAAAUGCUAGUUGGCAACGGUUAGGUGGAAGGAUCAGUCUCAUAUCACUAAAAAUUUGGAUUGUUAACUCUUGAUGGUAUUUGUGGUCUCUUGUGGAUAAUAGCGGUGGUAAUUUUGAUCCAAAAAUAUGACAGAGCGUAUAAGUAGUCUAUCUCGCAUAAUUCAGGCGGACAAGCAUGAAACUAGUUCAAGGAUUCAACGGUAUGGAGUUAAGGAGACACCACAUGCUGAUGCCAUGCACAUGUUUUUUUUCUCAUUAAAAACAAAAGGUCAAAUUAAGUGUUAAUGCUUGAUUUUGUCAAUAUUGACAAAGCUCAAAACGUAUAAUCUUAGAAAUUGGCAUAUUUUAUUACAGAAGUAAUUAACAAUAUCAGGCGGCCAGUUGGGAUUCUUUAAACUUUAUCGUAAUUCCCUUUCACUAUCUCAGCAUUAGUUUACUAAACUACCCUUAUUUUAUAAACGUCUCUUGAAAAUCGAACACUACUAAGAAGAUGGAGUAUAAACUAUUUUUUGUGUUGAAUUCCUAAGAUAACACCUAUUUUUGGGACGGAGGUAGUACUUGCGAGGUGAACCAGUCACCUGAGUUAAGAUGUGUACAAAUUGACUCGACAUUACUCAAGUAUAUUGUAGAUUGAUGACUUCAUAUAUAUAUGAUGCUUAUAUGCCAACUUCAUUAGCAAAUAGAAGUUAAGUAGAUUAAAAUCAUUUUAGCGUAUUGUUGACCACUUUCGAUGGCUUCUAACUUGCAAAUAAAAAAAUAUACUUCCAAUAAGUAUAUAUUCCCUCAAUCAAAAUUCUCAAAACACUUACCAAAUAACAGCUCUUUCACUUGUACUAAAGUUAUCAUGGCUCAGUACAAUUCAAUUCUUAUUAUAAUUGGGCUGAUUUAUGUGUUUUUUCCAUUUACCACUAAUGCAGCUGAACAGAACAAUUCACAAAUCUAUAUUGUUCAUUGUGAGCUCCCUGAUGGGGAAAUGGCAACCAGAUAUCAAGAUUUAGAAAGCUGGUAUCUUUCUUUCUUGCCUGCAACAACCUCGGAUAGUUCUCGUGAGGCACCACGUUUAAUAUAUUCCUAUCGAAAUGUCCUAACAGGUUUUGCAGCUAAGUUAUCACCAGACGAUAUAAAGGAAAUGGAGAAAAUGGAAGGAUUUGUUUCUGCAUGCCCCGAGGAGCUACUUAUUUUACACAGCACACAUAGUGUCAAUUUAAUGGGGCUGUAUCAUAACAUGGGGCUCUGGAAUGACUCGAAUUAUGGGAAAGGUGUGAUUAUUGGAGUUAUUGACGGGGGAAUUUUCCCCGACCACCCUUCGUUUAAUGAUGAUGGGAUGCCACCUCCCCCUGCUAAAUGGAAGGGUGAGUGUGAAUUGAAUGUCACAAAGUGUAACAACAAGCUCAUUGGAGCCAGGGUCUUCCUGAACUCGGGGAUUGAUCCAUGAGAUGAAGAUGGUCAUGGUACACAUACUGCUAGCACGGCUGCUGGACGUUUCGUGUCAGGUGCCAACAUUUUUGGCAAUGCUAAUGGCACUGCCACGGGAGUUAACCUCUUGCUCAUGUUGCUUUUUACAAAGCGUGCUCUGCUAACUUUUGUUCGGUGAGCGACAUUUUGGCUGCAAUGGAUAUGGCUAUUGAAGAUGGUGUGGAUAUUCUUUCGGUUUCCCUUGGUAGUCUAUUUAAUGCUUUCUAUAGAAAAAGCAUUGUGAUUGGUGCAUUUAGUGCUGUGAAAAAGGGAAUCUUUAUCAGCUGUUCUGGAGGAAAUUCAGGACCAUAUAGUUUUUCAAUGUCUAAUGAAGCGCCCUGGAUUCUUACAGUUGGUGCAAGCACUAUCGACAGGAAAAUAAAGGCCACUGUUAUGCUUGAUAACAAUCAAGAAUUCGAGGGAGAAUCAGCUUUGCAACCUAAUGACUUUCCUCCCACACUAUUGCCUCUUGCCUAUCCUGGAAGCAAUGCUAGUGAUUCUGAUGCUAAAUAUUGUACCCCUGCUUCCCUGAACAACACAAUUGUCAUGGAAAAGAUUGUGUUGUGCGAGUCUGGUAAAAUAUCGCAAGCUGAUAAAGGAGAAGCAGUGAAGGCAGCUGGUGGUGCUGCCAUGAUUUUUAUGAACUGAGAAGCCAAUGCUAACACAACAUUGGCCCAGGCUUAUGUCCUUGCAACGACACAUGUUGGUUAUGCUGAUGGUAUAAAAAUCAAAGAAUACAUAGACUCAACACCAACCCCAACAGCCACAAUAGUGUUCAAGGGAACUAUAAUCAGAGAUGAUCGUGCUCCAGUGGUUGCUUCAUUGUCUUCCAGAGGUCCUAGUUAUGCAAAGCCCUGGAAUUCUAAAAUCAGACAUUAUUGGUCCUGGCGUUAACAUUCUAGCAGCUUGGCAUAUUUCCUUGGAGAACAAUACAAACACCAACUCGAGAUUCAACAUGAUCUCAGGCACCUCAAUGUCUUGUCCUCACCUCAGUGGCGUUGCAGCACUACUAAAAAGUGUUCACCCCGAUUGGUCUCCAGCUGCAAUUAAGUCUGUAAUUAUGACAACAGCCAAUGUCUUCAACCUCGGAUCUAACUUAAUCGAGGAUGAAACAUACCUUCCGGCCAAUGUUUUCGCCACUGGUGCAGGCCAUGUUAAUCCGUCAAAAGCAAAUGAUCUAGGUCUGAUAUAUGACGUAGACCAACCGUUUACUUACCUUAUUUAUGUGGUCUAAAUUACAUAGACACAGAAGUUGGAUUCUUUUUUCCGGGAAAAGUUAAUUGUUCAGAGGUUACUAGCAUCUCAGAUGGUCAACUAAAUUAUCCAUCGUUUUCGAUCCAAGUCAGAGUCAACUCAGCAGCUCAAGUAUAUUCAAGAACUGUGAUGAAUGUUGGACAAACCAACUCAACAUACAGAGUUGAAAUUGGUUCACCGCCGAAUCUUGAUGUGAAAGUUGAACCAACUACACUUGUUUUUUCAGAGGUGAAACAAGCAUUGAGCUAUCAAGUGACAUUUACACCUCUGGAUACCAUACCAAACAGUACUUUUAAUCAGGGAUCUCUCAGAUGGAUUUCUGAAAAACACAUUGUUAAUAGUCCAAUUGCUGUUCGAUUUUUCCUUUUCUGAAAAAUAAUUGAAGGAUCUGAUCUCAGUGACACACUCAUUGAGAUUUUUCUUUUGCAAUAAAAUCAUGUUCAAUAUACAUUUCUAUUAAAUAUCCAAAGUACCAUCCCCACCACAUAGUACACUUAAAAGUACAAACUUUUUUUAUAUUACGAACACAAGAAAAAGCAAUAUAUGUACAACACUAAAUCCUUAACACAUAUUUUUACAUGUUAGACCCUUCUUUUUCCCUCAAGUUAAAUAAUUUGUGCAAUAUAGAAGGUAACACAACCAUGCCCUUUUUAAAUAUGUUCUUUAGUAUGGAGCUCAGCGUGAAGCCCUGCAAAAGGCUGCACACCUUCAACUUGUAGAGUGUUUCAAAGAAAAAAAUUAGUUUAAAGAGAAAAAUCGAAUAAUUUGCCUGAUUCAAUUUGGUGACAAAACCAAUAAUUUUAGAAAAUUAAUUUAAUAAUGUAAUACAUAGCUCAUGAUCACAUUGAACAUUUCAAAAUUCCAAAAGAAUAUUUCCAAAUAAGUUAAAUAUGGAAGUAAAUUCAUCUUGAUAUCCUUAUCUUGAAGUGGUCAUCAAGUGUAAGGUUACUUUUUCAUGAUUAGUACCUUUAUAGUUUACUUUUAGUAAAUUAAUAUUUUUAGAAAAAAAGCAUGUUAUCCGGUGAAGAUGAGGUUAUGACUUUUCAAGAAUAUAAAUAAUGAACACUAGAUAGAUAUAUUGUCAUCAAAAUGCGAAUCCAAAAUUUAAACUAAAUAAAUUUUGAUCUUUAGAACUCUUAACAUUGAAUUCAUUAAACUUUAAAAUUAUGAUUUAAAAUCUAAUAUGAUACUAAGACUGCAUCCACUGGUGUUGUCAUGCUUGGUUUUUUCUUGGAAAUGUACUUAGUUUAGUAUGAAAAUAAAUCAAACAUGAAACUAAUUCAAAAUAAAAAUGUCAAAUUAAGUGGUAAUGCUUGAUUUAUUCAAUAUUGACAAAUCUCAAAAUUUAUAAAACUUUGGAAGUUUAGAAUAUUUGUAUUAUAGAAGAAAUUAACAAUAUUUGGAGGGAGGUGUACGCUUGCAACAUUAAUAUAAUUCUCUGUCAUAAUCUCACCAUUAGUCAAGAGGGAUGCUUGUUUUAUUAAUUUUCUUCCGCCUUCAUUGAGAUUUAAACCUGAAACCUCGUGAUUCUCUAUACACUUUAUUGACUAUUACUUGUUUUCAGAACUCAAGUUUAGGUAUAUUUUGGUUCCAAGUAGAUGGCCUAAUGAUCUAGCCAUCAGAGUAACCAUCUGGAGAUUUCAGGUUAAGAAUUCAGCUACGACACUGGUUGUGUGAAUCUGUCUGCUCCAGCCUUUAUGAGAACGGUUACUUUGGUAACAUGUACUUGGGAGUUGAACAAGUCGCCUCAUGUAAGGUGCGUCCAAGUUACCUGGAAUAUUACCUAAAAAGUAUAUUUUAGAGUGAUGACUUCAUCUAUAUGAUGUUGCUCUGCCAAGUUCAUUUUCACAGAGGAUGUUAAAUAGAAUAAAAUCGUCUUAGCGUGUAUCUUCAGGCAUGACUAUUUCAUAUUUCUAAAAUAUCUUCUGACUUGCAAAUAAAAAAGUAAACUUCCAGUAAGUAUAUAUACCCUCAAUCAAAACUGAGAAAUAAUCACCAAAUACCAGUUGUUUCACUAGUACUUAAGUUAUGGUGGCUCAAUACAGGUCAAUUCUCUCUAUAAUUGGGCUGAUUUGUGUGCUAUUUCCAUUUACCACUAAUGCAACAGAACAGGACAAUUCACAAAUCUAUAUUGUUCAUUGUGAGUUCCCUGAUGGGAAAAGAUCUACCAAUAAUCAAGAUUUGGAAAGCUAUUAUCUUUCUUUCUUGCCUGCAACAACCUCAGAUAGUUCUCGUGAAGCACCACGAUUGAUAUAUUCCUAUCGAAAUGUUAUAACAGGUUUUGCAGCUAAGUUAUCACUAGAAGAUUUAAAGGAAAUGGAGAAAAUGGAAGGAUUUGUCUCUGCACGCCCCGAGGGGCUACUUGAUUUACACACCACACAUAGUGUAAAUUUCAUGGGGUUGAACCAGAACAUGGGGUUCUGGAAUGACUCGAAUUAUGGGAAAGGUGUGAUCAUUGGAGUUAUUGACACGGGAAUUUUCCCGGACCACCCUUCGUUUAGCGAUGAUGGGAUGCCACCUCCCCCUGCUAAAUGGAAGGGUAUAUGUCAGUUUAAUACCACUAAGUGUAACAACAAGCUCAUUGGUGCGAGGUACUUCAGCUACACGGGAAAUGAUCCAUGGGACGAAAAUGGACAUGGUACACAUACUGCUAGCACAGCAUCUGGACGUUUCGUUCCAGGUGCUAACAUUUUAGGCAAUGCUAAUGGCACAGCUAUGGGUGUUGCACCUCUCGCUCAUGUUGCCAUUUACAAAACGUGCUCUGCUAUUGGUUGUUUUGGGAGCGAUAUUUUGGCAGCUAUGGAUAUGGCUAUUGAAGAUGGUGUCGAUAUACUUUCAAUUUCCCUUGGUAGUCGAUCUAGACAAUUCUAUGAAGAUGUCAUUGCACUUGGUGCAUUUAGUGCUAUGGAAAGGGGAAUCUUUGUCAGCUGUUCUGCUGGAAAUUCAGGACCAUACACUUUUUCAGUAUCUAAUGAUGCGCCCUGGAUUCUCACAGUUGGUGCAAGCACUAUCGACAGGAAAAUAAAGGCCACUGCUGUGCUUGGAAACAAUCAAGAAUUCGACGGAGAAUCAGCCUUUCAACCUAGUGACUUUCCUUCAACACUGUUGCCUCUUAUCUAUCCUGGAAGCAAUGAUAGUGACAUUCUUGCUCAGUAUUGUUACCCUAGUUCGCUGAACAACACAAAUGUCAUGGGAAAGAUUGUGUUGUGUGAGGCUGGUAUAACAAGAGCAGUUGAUAAAGGAAUAGCAGUGAAGGCAGCUGGUGGUGCUGCCAUGAUCAUUAUGAAUCCAAAAUCCUGGGCUAACACAACAUUUGCUGAAGCACAUGUCCUACCCGUGACACACGUUACCUAUGCUGAUGGUCUAAAAAUCCAAGCGUACAUAAACUCAACAACAACCCCCACUGCAACAAUCGCAUUCAAGGGAACUACAAUCGGAGAUAAUCGUGCUCCAGUGGUUGCUGGAUUUUCUUCCAGGGGUCCAAGUUAUGUAAGUCCUAGAAUUCUGAAACCGGACAUUAUUGGUCCUGGUGUUAACAUUUUAGCAGCUUGGCCUGUUUCCUUGGAGAACAACACAAAUACCAACUCGACAUUCAACAUGAUCUCAGGCACCUCAAUGUCUUGUCCUCACCUCAGUGGCGUUGCAGCACUACUAAAAAGUGUUCACCCCGAUUGGUCUCCAGCUGCAAUUAAGUCAGCUAUUAUGACAACAGCCGAUGUCUUAAACCUCGGAUCCAACUUAAUCGAGGACGAAACUUACCUUCCAGCCGAUGUCUUUGCCACAGGUGCCGGUCAUGUUAAUCCAUCAAAAGCAAAUGCCCCCGGCCUGAUAUAUGAUAUCAAGCCAUCUGAUUACUUACCUUAUUUAUGUGGUUUGAAUUACACAAACAGACAAAUUGCAGUCAUUCUGCAGCGCAAAGUUAAUUGUUCAGAGGUUACGAGUAUCUUAGAAGGUCAACUAAAUUAUCCAUCGUUUGCAAUUCAAGUUAAAAGCAACUCAGGAGUUCAAGUAUAUUCAAGAACUGUGACAAAUGUAGGACAAGCCAACUCGACAUACCGAGUUGAUAUUGAUUCACCGCAAGGCCUUGAUGUGAAAGUUGAACCAACUACACUUGUUUUUUCAGAUGUGAAACAAAAAUUGAGCUAUCAAGUAACAUUUACACCUUUUGCUGCACCAAGUACUACAUAUACUCAGGGAUCUCUUAGAUGGAUUUCUGAAAACCACAUUGUUAGGAGCCAAAUUGCUGCUUGGUUUUCUGAUUAUUUGUGAAGAAACAAAUGAAGGAGCUGAUCUCAGUGACAUACUGAUCAAGAUUUUUCAUUUGCAAUAAAACCAUCUUAAAGAUGUUAACAUUGGUUUAUUAUCCCAUAUGUUUACUCUUGUGUUCAUAUGUUCCACCCCACCUUGUCAGCCUCACCCUCCACAGACCACACUUGUAAAACUACACUGAGUAUGUUAUUUUUGUUGUUUGCAAUAAAAACAAAUAUUAUGUUUAUCUUUUUCGCUAUAACUGGGCUGAUUUAUGUGCUCUUUCCAUUAACCACUAAUGCAUAUGAAUAGAACAAUUCACAAAUAUAUAUUGUUCAUAGUGAGUUUAAUGAUGAGGAAAUGUCAACCAGAUAUCGAGAUUUCAACACUUCUUUUUCCCUCAAGUUCAAUAAUUUGUGCAAUAUAAAAAUGCUCAGCAUGAAGCCUGCAAAGGUCUGCACCUGCAAAUUGUAGUGUGUUUCAAAGAAAAAAAUUAGUUUAAAGUAAAAAAUUAAAUAAUUUGGUGACAACCUCAUAAUUUUAGUAAAACAACAUUUUGAACUACUAAAACUGUUGAAGAAUGUAAUACAUAACUCAUAUUCACAUUGAACAUUUCAAAAUUCAAGAGAAUAUUUCCAACAAGUAUCUGUUUUAAGGGAUCUGAAUAAAGAUAGUUGUUGAAUGCCUUGAAUUGGACCCGCUACAAACAGAAAGGACGGGGUCUCGCUGCCCGGUCAGCGAGUCGGGGGGUCCAGGGGGGCGACGCGCCCCCUGGCCUGGGGUCCGGGGGGCGGAGACGCCCCCGGCCCGACAGUAUACAAUGUUGUUGUAUUGGGCCCUUAAUUUUCUGUUGAUUCUGUAUGUUGGGCCCAAGCCUGUUAGGGCGUAGCUUAGCACUAUAUAUAGACGCUAUGGGAAACCCUAUUCUGUAAUUCUGUUUUUUGCCUCUCCAUAAUAAAACUGUUCCCUCUCUUCCCGUGGACGUAGCCAAUUUAUUGGUGAACCACGUAAAUCUGUUGUCUUGUUUUUCGCGUUUAUAUUUUCUCGUAUUAUCUCAAAUUCCGCACAACAAUAGUCCAUGAAGUUUUACAAUUUAUUGUAUUAGUAAGGUAUAGAUUUGUAGCUAGUAAAAAAAUUAUUAAGCCAUAGUAGAUUUAAAAAUUAUAUGGAAGUAUAUUCAUCUUGAUUUCCAUUAAACUUUUGAAAUUACGAUUUAAAAUCUAAUGUGCUACUAAGACUGCAUCCACUGGUGUUGUCAUGCUUGAUUUUUUCUUGGAAAUGUACUCAGUUUAGUAUGAAAUAAAACAAACAUGAAACUAAUUCAAAACAAAAUGUCAAAUUUAACUGGUAAUGCUUGAUUUUGUCAAUGUUGACAAAUCUCAAAACUUAUAAAACUUGGAAGCUAGCAUAUUUGUAUUAUAAAAGUAAUUAACAAUAGGCCUAUUUGGAGGGUGGUGCACGCUUGCAACAUUAUUAUAAUUCUCUUUCAUAAUCUCACCAUUAGUCAAGAGUGAUUUCUUGUUUCACUAAUUUUCUUCCGCUUUCAUUGAAAUUUCAGGUACCUCAGUGUCUUGUCUCCAUCUGAGUGACAUUGCAGCGCUACUAAAAAGUGUUCACCUGGAUUGGUCUCCAGCUGGAAUUAAGUCAGCAAUUAUGACAACAGCCGAUGUCAUAAACCUCAAAUCCAACUUAAUCGAGGAUGAAACGUACCUUCCAGCCGAUGUCUUUGCCACAGGUGCAGGCCAUGUUAAUCCAUCAAAAGCAAAU
RNAcentral lists this long non-coding RNA (59713 nucleotides) under Solanum lycopersicum (tomato). Its description in RNAcentral is "long non-coding RNA (SLYC_LNC000582)". The record is from RNAcentral. Lineage: Eukaryota; Viridiplantae; Streptophyta; Magnoliopsida; Solanales; Solanaceae.